UUAUGAUUCUUAUUUCACUCUCAAAUAGGAAUGAUCCAAUUUAUUUAUAGUCCAAUCUGACUUUAAAUUUUGGAUUGGUUCAUUUCAGAAUAAAUCAUUCAAAAUUUUCUCUCACAAAUAUCUCUACAUCCUCUUCCCUCGUCACUUUUCUUUUUCUCAAUUAAAAUCUCUUUCUAAAAAUUCUAAACGUCUAUUCCAAUUUUCAUUUUAGUGAUGAACCAAAUAUUCUUAAAUGAUUCCAUUUUUUAUUUCAAUGCAAUCUAAUUCGUUUCCUAUUUCUAUUUCGCUCAUGAACUAAACAUAUCCUUCUUACUUUCAUGCCGAAUUGGAAAGAAAUUGUACAUAGAAAUACUAGGACUAAGGAUUCUAUUAGUAAUAACUGAACUUAAACAGUUGCACUAAUGUUUUAGACUCAAUGAGUUAUCGGUAUUAGCGGAUUGGAUUAUUAAAGCAGAAUUGCCAGUCGAACAUGUAAUUAGGACUGGUGAGAGUUUUGGAAGAAAAAUGUAUUAAGGAAUAAGGAUUCUACAAGCAAUAAUUAGAUACUAGUAUAGUAGCCCGUACGAUGCGACGGAUAGAGAAUUGGAGAAAAAAUAAAAGACGAUGACAAAGGAGAGAAAACAGUAAUAAAAGAAAUGAUGAUAAAAGGUGAGAUUCAUCUUGCCGAUGAAAGAGAUUGAAGAAAGAUGAAGAAGAACAGUUCGGCUCAAUAUAGAGGUGUGGCUCAGUUCGGUUCAAGCCAAAAAAAAAAAGGUUGAUCUGGUUCGAUUCAAGUAAAGAAAGAGAGAAAUCAAGUUCAUUUCACGCAAAGAAAGAGAAAAAUAUGUAGAAAACUUGAGCCGGUUCGAGAGAGCCCAUACUUAACAAUAAUCAAGUCGGUUUAAGCAAAGAAAGAGAAAAAUUCGAUCUGAUUCAAGCAAAAAAAGAAGAAAACAUGUGGAGAAUCUGAGCCCAUUCUAAUUAAAGCCCACACUAUUGCCAUGUGGCAAAUUUAAGAAAAAUAAUGUAUAGGUAUAGGUAUAGGUAUAGAGGUACAGAUAUAAAUCAGUAUUUUGGAUGGGUGAUUCGGUCCAACAAGUUAUUAAAUUCUAGUAGGCUGGAUCAUUAUAAUGCUAAUCCCUUCGGAACGCAUUUUCAAUUCCAAUUCCAAUUGCGAACCAAGCAUUCAGGGGAUCAGGAGAAUCCUUUUAUCUUCACAUAAUAAUAGAGUAUUAAUGGUGGGUGGUUGAGGGAGAGAGGUUGGUGGGUUGGUGUGCUUUAACAAUCAAGGAUAUAUUUUCUACCUGCAGUGAGUUAGAUAUUGACAUUUAAACCUGCGAUCUGCAUUGAGUUUGAAAUUUAGCUUAGGACGUGUUUGGUUCCCGAAAAUUUUAAAAAAUAUUUUUUCUAGAAAAAUUCUUUCUUUUUUAAGACUUCAUAGAAGAGUCUUCUUUUUGUUUUCGGAAUUUUUUUUUUUUACCAAGAAACUGAAUACUAUGGAAAGAUUCUUUUUUUAGAGAUUGAUACUCAAAUCCUUGGGGGAUUAAAUUAGCGAUUUGGAUCUCGUCCAAUUUGGAGCUAAUCUCUAUACAUAUUUUAUUUUCGGUGAUACUAAUGCGUCACAAAACGUAAUUCUUGCAUCUCCACUUAAAGAGUAAGGCAAUCCUACCUCAAGUAAAGAAUCUCCACGUAAUAGAAACCGAAACAAACAUUCGCCAUCCUAGUUCAGUGAUUGUUAUCAAAUUGUUUUUUUUUUUUUUUUUUUUUUGAGAGAUAGAUAGCACGCUACCUGCUUCGUUUAUUUCAUUUAGAAAUAAACUUAGCUGGAAAUGUGAAUCAACUAGGAUUCGAACUUAGAUCUCGGGUACCAACCAUCAAGCUCUUUGCCACUUGCUCUAGGGACGAUCGGUUAUUGUUAUCGAAUUGUUAUUCUAAAGAUCGCAUUCCUACUUGUACUUUUACUUAAAGAGAUUUGUACCUCCAACUUUUUGAGUAUUAGAAUAGUAUAUGUAGAAAGGAUAGGAUAGGAGUCUAGGAGCAAACUUGAAUACUAUAUGAAUGAAGCUGAUAGCUACGUUUUUCUCAAAAAAAAAAAAAAAAAAGAAUCUUUCAAGUGUAGAAAUAGAAAGGUUAAAUCAUAUAUCUUGUUUCUAAAAGUAAUAUUCUACAAUAAUAAUAAAAGCUUUGCUAAGUUUCUCAAUGCUUUUUUUAAAAAAAUAAGCUUUAUUCCGAAAAGUUUAACUAUUCAUUUUAUUAAAUUAUAAGUUUUAAUUCAUGUCUUUUGUAUAUAUUUGGAGGCCAUUUUCACCAAUAAAAUCAACGUCCGGUGAUUGAAUGAGCCAAUUUGACGUAUUUAUAGAAGUUUAGAUAGCAUUAAUUUAUUUUAAAAGUGAACUUUGAUAAAAGUUUACGAACUACCGAUGCGAUUAAUCCUUUCGAAAAUAGAGAGGUAAGUUUUAGGAGACGACAAAAUAAUACUCAGAGCCUAAGAUUCCGAUAGCGAGCUCAGGUUGAUGCUACAAUGCCAUAAUUUAUCUCUUUAAGAAGAUUAGGUUGGAAUUUACUAGAGAGUGAGGGGGAGCGCGAAAGCAAUGUCAUAGUAAAAAUUUUAUAAUUUAGUUUAGCUUGAUAAUGGACAAGGCUCAAGAGAAUAAUAAUAAACAUAAGGGCAUGAUUGGAAGCAUGGUACGAAUAAAAUAAAAUAAUGUACGGUUAAGUUUAAAGUAACCCAAAGUGCUCCGUGAUUCGUUCAUGUAACGCACAUUUCCUAUUUUGAUGGGCCCCACAAAUCUAAUUAUAGAUCAGGAUAAAUGAUACGUUUGGUCAUCAAACUAUGGUGUAUUGGUGUUCACGGUUUAGUUCUCAAAAUUUAAUUUACUUUAAUUUUAAAUUUAAAUUUUUAGAAUUAUUUCAAUUAAAGUUCUCAAAUCUAAUUUAUUAACUAAAUAUUAAUAUACUGCUAAUAUAGAAGUGAUAUAACAGUAUUGCAAUUGAUAAGACCCUAAUAAUUAAGUUAUCGUAUCACGCCAAUAUUUAGUCAAUUAAAAUAGUUUAUAAAAUUUAGUUACAAUAAUUUUCAAAGUUUAUAAAUUAUAACAAACUGAAGUUUAAGAAUUAAAGUGUCAUCGACUCAUAGUUCGAGAACUAAGCGAGCAAUUUACUCUAGAUAUAAGAGGUACUUUCAUCAUUUUGUGAUUAUUCUUGGUUUUUAUAGUAGCAUUAAUAAAUAUUUUUUAAUUUUAAAGGAGUAUUAAUAGAAUGGUUAAAUUAUAGAAACUUUCUAUUAAUAUCCUUUUUUUUUUACUUCUUUUUCUGUCAUUCAAAAAUUUAUAUUUUAUUCCCUAAAAAAAUAAAAAAUAUUUACAGAGAGGUACGCCGUAACAAAAUGACUAAAUUACCCCUCAUGUUCUUUGGAAUGGGCGAAGGAGGAGGGUUUUAGAGGUAUUUUGGAUAUAAAAAAUAGUAUAUAAACGAAAUCCUAACGAAACACUGACGACAGAGUCAAAGUUAAUACUUUUUUAUUUUUUAAAAGAACAAGAUGUAUGUUUUUGAAUGAUACGUGAAAAAGUUAAAAGUGGGUAUUGAUAGAAAGAAUUAUUUGAAACGAUGAAAUUAUCUUUACAGUAAGAAAUAUAUUUUUAGUUUAAACAUAAUUAAAAAAUAUACUUAUAUAAUUUUCUCAAAUUAUUUUUUUAAUUAUUAUAUGUAAGAUAAAAUUGCGACAAAUUUGAAUGGAGUUAUUUGUACCUACUGAGCAUCAAAUUUAGAUCGCCAUACCGUGAGCUACAAUUAUUUGCUUUGACCCCACCACCGUCACCACGUGGCAGCAGACGAUUCGUACCGUAAUUACCAAGCAAAGAAAAAGCCCCAUUGGCUUUUACCCCGACACGUCACUUCAGUUGCGGGCCCCACGCGAUGUUACCGUUUACCUUGCGGGUACCGCUCCGUUACUCGCCACGUCAUUUGCGCGCGAGCGUCCGCGCCGACCGACCCAAGCCACCUCGUCGUCGUCGUAUUACCGUAAACGCUUUUUGACUCAAUAAUGUGCGCAACCACCCGAGUCCGACGAUUCCAUCCUCGGCCUAAACACCAAACACCGGAUCUUUCUCCACAGUCACGCCACGUGUCCCCCCCGUUUCCACCGAGGUCCACUCCGAUGAUUGCUGUGCGAUGCAACUGUACAGUUGAUGCGAACGGAUGUUGCCUGGACCCGGUGUAUCGGCACUUUCCAUGCACCACACCUCUAAUUAUUUUUGUAGUAGAAAUUUUUUUAAAAAUUAAUUUACUGAGACCUUUCAAUUAAGAGUUCUAUAUAUAUAUAUAUAUAUAUAUAUAUAUAUGAAAUCGUACACUUUGGAUUGCCUAUAAUAGAUCGUUGAUGUGUUAGUAUAAUUAUAAAAUAUUUUAUUUUAUUUGAUGAGUAGUUUUUUAAAAAUUUAUUGGUGUUUAGAUAUAAUUAUGAUCAAUUUAAUGAAAUAUACUUAUCAAAUUAAAGUUAAAUUUUUAAAUAUUGAUUAAUUAAUUAAUUAAUCAACAAAUAGCAAAUACAAACACGUGGUAGAUGUGGUACACGUAGUCCAGGGGCAGGCCACAAUUUUCUCGCUCCCCUUGUGUCGGUUGCUAUUUUAAUAACUGUGGUGAGGGCAUUUUCGUAAUUUCGCGACCUAUGAACAGCACAAAAAUGUAGAGAGAGAGAGAGAGAAAGAUCUGUCCCGCCUCACAUUCCCCGGAGCUCGCUCUCUCUCUCUCUCUCUCUCUCUCUCUCCCCCCUCCGUCUCUCGCAGAUCCGGAGGAGGAGGACGAGGCAAAACCCUAUUCCCUCCGAUCUUCGAUCCCAAUCACCUCAAACCCUACAAACCCUAGGCUUCGAUCUCGAACGGAUUCGGUAUCGACAUCCCCGGGCAUCGCCAUUGACGUCACCCCCGAGCUCCGCUCCCUCCGACCCUCUCCUUCCCCCCAAUGCCGUCGUAAUCUCCGCCCCCGGACCCCCUAGGUAUCUUCUAUCUCCUCGUAUACGGUCGAUUUGAGGUGCCCGCUGAGAUUUUCGUGGGGUUUUGGGGGGGAUCUGUGCUGUAGAACUCGCGUUCUAGGGUUUUCUAUUGGUAAUGCGGCGGGUGUAGCUCGUGGAUCUGAGAAUGGGAGUUGCGAAGUACACCAAGGGGUGUUGCGGGUGGUUGAUAGUGCUUAUUGUCGCCGCGCUUGUGGUCACUGCAGCGGUCGUAGCCAUUAAGAAGAGGAAGCCCCACCAUGCCGAGGUCCUUCCGGUCCCCGGCCCACCGGGGGCCAUUAAUCAGAAGUACGCCGAUGCCCUCGGCAUAGCUCUGCAGUUCUUUCAAGUGCAAAAAUGUACCUUCCCUGCUUAUCACUGUUCCAUUUCCUCUCUAAUUGCAAUGAUUAAUUCCAAAAGAUGGGUCUUUUUAGCUCUUUCAGUAUGUUCCUCAUUUUUUCUUUUUUUAAUCUGUUAAUGGCACUCGCAUAAAUGUCCCUGCAAAAUUUGAAAAUUAGAUAUUUGUGUCUCUUUAAAAUUGAUAUUUGGUGUCAUUUUACUGUUUAAUUUUUUUUGUAUUUAGUAGGAAAGCAGAUAUUAUGUUAUAGGAAUUGGAUGGGACGGCAUGGGUGUCGGAACAGCGGAAAAAGUUUAAAUGAAAAACUAUCAAAUUAACAUUCAACGAAUGGUAGUUAAUUGGGAGCUCUAGAUGAAUUACUUAUUGAGUUUUAGCCUAAGAAAUUAAAUAUUACCAGAUCCACUUUCGAAGUUUAAUAUGCAAGUGACUCUUGUUAAGGGGUUUACUAGUUCCCAUUAUUAUUUAUUUAUUUAUUUUCAUUCUAUGCAGCGGGGAAGUUGGUUAAUAACAAGAUUUCGUGGAGAGGGGAUUCUGCCCUGGAUGACGGGAGGGAAGCAGGAUUGGACCUGUCAAAGGGGAUGUAUGAUGCAGGGGAUCACAUGAAAUUUGGUUUUCCUAUGGCUUACACUGCAACAGUGUUAUCAUGGUCUAUUCUUGAAUACGGGGAUCAGAUGAGUGCCGUGAAGCAGCUAAAUCCUGCUCUGGACGCUCUUAAGUGGAUCACGGAUUAUCUGAUCAAUGCCCAUCCUUCUGAUAAUGUUCUGUAUAUUCAGGUAGUUUUUGUGGGAAUUUUUCUUUUUUUCUUUUUUUAAGGUUCAUAAGACAAAGGUGGGCUCUAUGUUAAAAUUAAGAUCUUUCAAGUUUUCUUCUUUAGUUGAGCCAGAUUCCACUAUUUGUUUUUUUCAUUGAACCCUAUUUGCCAUAAUUAUGUGCUUUUCUUCAUCCUUUGUCAGGUUAUGCGAUGUGUUUUUCUAAUUAGUUUGACAUUAUACUGCAUUGUCAUCACUCUAGUACCAGAUUUAUCCAUCUUCUUGUGGCAUAGGAAAUAACGCUUUUAGAGUUUAUCCAGAGACCAGAUUUAGAGGGCAUUUAUUCCUCUUUAGGUAGAUCAACCUAACUGGAAGUAAAUGUUCACUACAUACUAUUUAUGAAAAAUCUACUAUCUUAAUGACUCUUGUUAUUAUUUGUCCUUGCCAUUUGUUCCUUAAUGAUAAGAAUGUAAUGGAAGUUCAUUUUUAAAUUGCUAUUUGUCCCUUCUCUUUUGAAGUUAAUUAUACAUUGUCUUGUUUUUAUCUAUAUCAUGACAAAUGAACAAGCAGCUAGCAGUCCCUCUGAGAUGUAGGCAAGUAAAUAGAUUCUCUGUUGCUUGCCUUCAUAUCUAAUUGUAGAUUCGCUGUUACAUUUAUUUCUUUAUAUCUAAAAUGUAUGAUUGGAAGCAUGUGGAUCUUAUAAAACACUACAGUUUCAAGGAAAAAAGUCUGUAGUAACCAUUACCCCGUUUAUAUAUAUAUAUAUAUAUAUAUAUAUAUAUAUAUAUAUAUAUAUAUAUACAGAUCAGAGCUGUUAUGCUCUCAGGAGCACGGAGGCCUUCGUGCUCUUGAGCCGUUUUCGAUGAUAAAAUUUUCGAAUCAACGAUCGGCUCCGUUAGACUUGAUCUAGCGUAUUUGAAGUUUCUAGAAAAUAAUUUUUGCAAUUUUUUGAUAUCAUUUACCUAGUGAUCGAAAGAUUCAAAAUCAAUAAUUUUUAAUGGUUGAUAUCUGCCGUUUUCAAGUUUAACGGUAUAGAAGUAUUCAAAUCAGAUGAAAUUUUGAUACAAAAUUCUUUAUACUAUCUACAACAAGAUCAAUAUUUCUGAUCGAAAAUUUUAGUGCUAUGUGACCACUUUUUAUAGGAUUUUUAUUUUCAGCCGUUAAAAAUUAUUGAUUUUGAAUCCUUUCGAUUGCUAGGUAAAUGAUAUUGAAAAAUCGCAAAAAUUAUUUUCUAGAAACUUCAAAUACGCUAGAUCAAGUCUAACGGAGCGGAUCGUCGAUUCGAAAAUUCCAUCAUCGAAAACGGCUCAGCUCCUGAGAGCAUGGCAGUCCUGCUAUAUAUAUAUAUAUAUAUUAAUAACCUCUCUGAAAAGUUAUGAUCUGAUUGGUAGGUGGGUGAUCCUGAGAUAGACCAUAAAUGUUGGGAAAGGCCGGAAACAAUGGCAGAGAAAAGGCCGCUAACAAAGAUCGACCAGAAAACUCACGGGACAGAGGUGGCUGCGGAGACAGCAGCGGCUCUGGCCGCAGCUUCCUUGGUUUUCAAAUCCAUUAAUACCACCUAUUCCGAUUUGCUUCUUCACCAUGCCCAGCAGUUAUUCACUUUUGCUGACACUUACAGAGGUUCCUAUAGUGUUAGUUAUCCUCAGCUUCAGAACUACUACAAUUCCACAGGUUAUGUAGAUGAGCUCUUGUGGGCAGCUAGCUGGCUCUAUCAUGCUACUGGUGAUCAAACAUAUCUCAGCUAUGUAACUGUGGAAAAUGGAAAAGCUUUUGCCGACUGGGGAAGACCGACUUGGUUUAGUUGGGAUGACAAACGUGCAGGAACCCAGGUACAUAUCUAGAUCAUGAAGUGAAAAGUUUGCCCUCUCAGUUAGCUUCUCUUCUUCAUAAAAUGAUAUGCCAUGUUAUUAUGAUUGUGUACACUAAAGUAUGAAUUUUUGGUUCAUAUCAAAACAAUAAUGUGAUUUCAACACGUCAACUCAAGGUACCCAUAUCCUUAAAUCAUUGUAGCUAACAAGAGCAAGUCUGCGGAAAAGCUGGGAACUUAAAUGACCUGCCUUCUAAGGAAUUACUUUGAAUAAAUGUUACGGUGAAAGUAAAUUAGUUAUGCCUCACUGGAGCCGAUUCAAACUUUUUUGCAGGUUCUUUUGUCCAGGAUAAACAUUUUUGGUUCUAAACAAUCCUCGAAUGCAGAGAAUGUGGGCCUCCAAAUGUAUAGAAAAACAGCUGAAGCCGUCAUGUGUGGUCUUUUGCCAGAUUCCCCAACAGCAACCUCUAGUAGAACAGAAAGUACACCUAAAUACCUUUCUCAGUUGAUUUAGUAUUAUGAUUUUCUCAGUUGAUUUAGUAUUAUCAUUAUUAUUAAGAGUAUCUUGCCUGUUUGUUCAUAGGUUCGCUAGUUUUCUUGACAGUGCUCCAUGAAAUCAGCGAUUUCUUGUUCUAAUUCGAAGUGCAUUCUCAUACAUUCUUAAUGACUUGGUUAUCAUGUUCUAUCUCAUAUGCACCAUUGAUAGUCUAGUUUUGUUUUUCAGUGUCAUGUAGCUGAAUGUUUUGACUUCGUUGGUUGGACAGUUUGUUCCCUGCACUGGGGUGUGAAUAUGACCAGAUUUUUUAGCGUAACUUCCUCGAAUCUAGCCACAAGAAAUUAAGCCAUUUAUUUUGGCACUUCUAUAGUUAAUUUUUAUGGAGAAAUUGUAAAAGAACAUCCCAUUUAGAAUCAAAGCAGUAUGGAUAAACUGGACAAACUUGGCAUGUUGUGUCAUCUUUUAAAUAUUCAUUUCGUCAAAAGGAGAUUUUGUAGAAUGUCUGACUGCUUCAUGGUUGGAAAAUCAUGACAUUAAGAUGCAACAUAUGGACACUGUGUGAUCCAGAGGUAAUUGAUCCAUUUUUUUUCUUCCAUGCGUCUUCCUUCAUUAAGAUUCAGAGAACAUAACCAAGAUUUAUGGAAGACUCAUGCAAUCCCAGCCUUAUUGCUCUUGUUUACCAUUAGCUUUUACUGCUUUUGAUCAACCAGUUUUUAACUCCAGUUCAUCCUUGAUUUUGUUUGUUCCAUGCCAUAGAAUAUAUCUGAAUAAUUUUAGUUGAAUAAUAUUGAUCAGUGGUAUUAUUUUUCUAAUGCUUUUUAAUUUCACUCUUCCUAUCUAGAUUUAGGCAUACAUGCGACUAUAUUCUGAAUUACAGAGGACUAUUUUGAACUGUAAAUUGUAAAGUUAUUAUGAGCUUUCGGUAUUUAAUGGGUUUUGCCUUAUUUUUAUCGUCUUAACCCAGGUGGGUUGUUAUGGAUAGACGAGUGGAAUGCUCUUCAGCACCCUGUUGCUGCUUCUUUCCUCGCUGUUGUUUACAGCGACUAUAUGCUCACAUCGCAGACUCCAGAAGUGCACUGCAAUGGGGACUCCUACACACCCAUUGAUCUGCGGAAAUUCGCAAUGUCACAGGUAACAUCCUUGGAGGGCUUCAACUCCUGUUUGUACUACUUUUACUAACUUUGCUUGCUAUGGCCAUGUCCUGAAAUGAUUCUGAGAAAAAGCUUUCCUUAGGCCUGCUUGGCUAGGCUGGAGAUUUUGCAUUAGUGCUGAGUGAGUGUGUUGGGAAAAGUGGUAUGUCUUUCCUUACAAAACACCCACAAUAACCUUGUGCAACAGCCAAGGACGUCAUCUAGCUUAGUGCUUCGCCCUGAAGCUUUAAGCAUCUUGCCUGAUAAACAUCUCGCUUUUGCAUAUCGAGUAGAGAAGCUAUUGCUAAGGUCAGAUCAAAUAGGCACUUGAGGCCUAUAUGGUUUCAUCAAAACCUCCUGUAUUUCUUCUUCCUAGAAUUGAAGCAUAAGCUUCUAAUCGAAGCUCCUACUUGUGGGGUCCAAAAUCCCAUUUCAGCUUCUCAUAACAGCAAAAGCUCCAGAUUAUUAGCCAAGCACGUGAUUUUUAGAAGCUUCUGCUUUCUCGGUGGACAAGCUGUUCCGGAAGCCAAGAACAGUAUCUCAGCUCAUCAUUUUAAGGAUGGAAAAAAAAAGAGAAUAAGAUAAAGUAAUUGACCAAAAAAAAAAAAAACAAAUAAGCUGAGUGCUCUUUCCUCUUUUUUCUUUCCCUCCAAUUUUUUCAAAAAAACCAGGCCGACUACAUCUUGGGCGACAACCCGAUGAAGCUCAGCUACCUCGUAGGCUAUGGUAGUAGCUACCCGCAGCAGGUGCACCACAGAGGAGCCUCAAUCCCCACAGAAGCAAACACAGGCUGCAAGGGCUUCCAGUGGCUUACAUCAACUGAACCGAACCCAAAUGUAGCCACUGGAGCGCUCGUCGGAGGUCCAUUCAAGAACGACUCCUACAUCGACCUGAGGAACAACUCGAUGCAGGCCGAGCCGAGCACAUACAACAGCGCGGUUCUCGUCGGCUUGCUCUCCGGCCUCGUCACCACUUCCUCUGUCGCACAGUCUUUCACGUAAAUACUCUCUUCGUGCUCUUUGAUGGUUUCUGUUGGCAUAUGAAUGAUGUACAUGAGCAAGCAUCGUUGUUUGCGGUCGAGUGAAAGUAUGCUGUAUUGUGGCUAUGCCGGGGGUCUAUGAGAAGCCAUUUUUUGUUGUUGUACUUGUUUACUAUAUCAUGGGAAGCUUUCUUGUACUUGAGUGUGUGCAAUAUCCAUCGAAAGCAAUUAGAGGUGUAUGUGUAAUUGAGAGAGAGACCUACUAUGUUUUUUAGUACAUAUGAUUUAUGGAAUGUGAGAUGCAAAUAUGCAGUAAUGAGUAAUGAAUGAUACUCGACUACAUUCUCAUAGUUGAACAAAUUUGAGUUAAACAAACAUUUACAUUGUGAUUAUAAUGUCGCCGGACAAACAAUGCAAAGUAUGCAUUGUUAUUGUCAUUGAAAGGCAAACAGUUUAUAGUUUUAGGCUAAUCUCACGUAGUUGUCAUUUAACACUCUACUCUGCAUUCGAUCUAUUUGAAAGGAGCAUUAUGGAUGGAUACAUUUUAUAAUUCAAGAACAUUAUUAAUCAUCUAUUCAAUUUAUCCACUGCCUGAGCACAUUCAUGAGGGGCAAUUAACCAACCUGUCUCAGUGGUUGCAUCUUUAUUCUUAUUUUCCUUCUUUGUUCCAGCAUCUUAGGAAACAUUUUUUUUGGGUGCUCCCAUGAAUUAAAGCAACCUUUUUGAUCAAGCAAGCAAUGCCUGGCAGCAGAGCAUGUGGCUAUGAACCUGUCAAGAAAUUCCUUCAAGCAGAGAAAGAAAAAGGAGUUGAUUGCUUUUUGUAAGUUUACCAUCCAUCCCCAAAGUAAGGAUUUCACCCAUGAUUACAAACUUUCUUUCUCUUCAGGUAAAGCAUCCUCUAAAGAACAUCAUGAGACUCAAUACCAACAGCUAUGAAACUUUUUCUGUUCAUCUUCAUCACAAACAAUAAUAAUUCCUGACAUUUUUUGGUGCAUUAAUUCCCAAGGAAUGCAGGGAAGAAGACAUUCAUGACACAUCACACAGCCAAUAAUGCAGUGGACCCUUUGUCUUCAAUAAAUAUCAUUUUUAUCUCAAUGCUGCACAGAUCCAACAGCUUCUUAUGGCGGAAUGAGAGAGCGCGGAAUGAGAGAGCUAUGCUCGAGGAGACGAAGGGUUCAGUGACUCAGAGAUAUUUAGAGCCGUGAUAGUAAGAGGUGGGACUUGAUGGUAUACGUUGUGAUUCUCCAAAUCGAAAUCCACUAAGUUCGUAAUUGUCGGGUAGGUAGGAUUCAAUAAUCCCACUCUACUGAAAUUAUUAUCUGGCUCACUUGUGCGCAAAAGCACCAUAUUAGACAUUAUUUUCAAUUUGACAUUCCGACAAGCUGUAGCUCAUCCAUCCAAAAAGCCACAUGACAAGCCAUCCAAUUGAAACACUUCGAAUUUUUCAAAAUAUUAUUUUUAUAAAUUAUGAUCAUGUUGGCAAAUACGUAUUAUAUUUUGAACUGCAUGCAUGAAUAAAUCAAAAUGUAUGAUAUCAUUAAGUGCUGACACAUUAAAUAAUAUAUAAAAACAACAUAAUAAGGAAUCUGCAAUAGUACUCUGAAUUCAUAGAUGUAGUUUUUUUUUUUCCAUACAAUCCUGUGAUGUGUUGAAUCUAAAGUCACCCACUUUAGAGACAAUGUGCCAAAGAUACAGCAGAGAAUUUGGUCCUCUAAUAGUUUUAUGGUACCACCACCACCACCACUGCACCUUUUACAACCCCAUGACCCUAUGCAUUUUUUGUAAUCAAUGUGUGGAGCCCCUCUCCACAUGGCUAUCUUGUGGCUGUAUUAAUUUUGAAGGACCCUUCUCUUUUACCAAAUAUGUGGAAAUAGAAAACUUUAACUAUUUUCACAUAUGUGGAAGCACCAUUAUUACCUUUCACCUUAAACAGUAACAUGUCUCUUACCAGUUUCUACCAUAGAAUUUCCAAAAGAGAGUUUAACUUUUUGAACAUCCAUGCAUAAGAUCCCUCUCUUUUACUUCUCAUUUAUAUCUUUUCUAUUUUGGGUAACUUUUUUUUUUUUUUGCCAACAAACAAGUUAUGAUAAUAGAAGAGGGACGAGAAGGGGUAAUAGACUGCUUAGAACCGACUCUGAUAUCAUACUAUCCAAAAGAUCAAUAUGACAAUCGAUAUUAGAUAAAUAACUCGGCAAACCUCCUAUUUUACAAUCAUUGUGAGAUACAUAGUGUUUCAAAUAUCUCACGCGCAAUGUAUCCCUAAAGAUAACGAUUCUAUAAUUAGCCAAAAAGCAUCUAGUACUCGAUAGAUGAUGAGUGUGAUUAAAUAUUUAGAAUGAAUUUUAUUUUCGAUCUUUAAAUUAUUUUCUCAACAUAAAAUAAGUCACUUUGCAGAUGAGAUAUAUUAUCUUAACUUCGAAGUACACAAAAAAAUAUUUUGUUCAGAAUAAGUUAUUAUUGGAUUUCUAAUUUCAAAACACAUAAAAUGAAUGUCUAGACUUUUCAAAAACAUCGUACAGAAGAAGUUAUUAUAUGCUAUCCUAUCAAAUCAUAGAUGCCAACAUUUUUCGAGGAGCAAAAAGCGAACUCCUAACUUUGAAUUAUAUAAAAAAUAUUUAUACAAAAUGACUUACAAUCUAAAUUCUAAAAAAGAAUAGGGCAAAAAAAUUUUUAGAAUAAAAGAAACAAAUCCUUUAUCUUAAUUAUUCGCACAUUGAUCUUUUUUUUUAUUUCACAUUCUAUCUCUCCGUUUUGUUACCAUCACUUAUUUUCCUCUUCAUUCUCCCCUCAAAAAAACAAAAAAAAAACCAAAAAAUUUUAGUUGGCAAUUCAGAUAAUAAUUACUACACUAGUUUAAUAUUUGUUAGUUUUCGCGUAUUUCUUGUUCAUUAACAAAUGAAAUUAUUUAACCCUAUUUAUGAAAAAUUUUAAGUCAAAACAAAACAUUUCCCCCAUUUUGAUCCAUGUUUCCACUUCCACUCCAACUAUACAUUCACUCUUUUAAAAAAAAAAAAAAAAAACCUGCAAAACCAGCGGUUGAGAUUAUACAAAUAUGGACACGUGUCAUGCAUCAAGAUCCCCAUCCAAUGGUUAUUAAUUAAUUGAUUAAAAUGCGUGAAGACCCCUGACCUAUACUCCUAUCUACAAAUGCCUCCAACGCUUAAAAUUUUUAAGAUAAAAACUUACAAAACUUAUCUAAACUAUGAAUCAUUUUGAAUUAGCUAUCCAAACUUUCAAAAUUUUGAUUUUACUAUCUUCAAUUUAUUUGAUUUGAAUCGGUCAGUGAUACUUUGACUUCAAAAUUUAAACUAAUUUCUUAUUUUGAUGAGUUUAUAGUUGCGAAUACUAUAUGAAAUAUGAUAACUAAAUCUAUAAAGAUAAGUGACGCAUUCAAAUUUUGAAGUCAAAGUGCCAGUUACUAACUCAAAUCAAGCAAAUUGAAAAUAUUGGAGAGUAAAAUCAGAAUUUUGAAAGAUUUGAUAGGUAAUUCGAAAUAGUCCAUAGUUUGAGUAAAUUCUAUAUAUUUUUACCAUUUUUUAAAUUGACACACUCUUAACUUUUGUUUUUUACAAUUAAGUAAUUUUUGUUAACUAAAUUAGAGAUUUUAUCAAAUUUAAUAAUUUUGAUAACUUUUUUUAGCAAAAUAAAAUAAAAUAAAAGCAAAUAACAAUUAAUAAAUAAAAGAACCAUAAAUUUAAUAAAAUUAUCUGACUUAACUAACCGGGAAGAAAAAAAAUCUAAUAAAAGGAAUUUAAAGUUGGGGGAUGUCACUAAAAAAAAAAAAGUUGAGGGGGCUAUUUCAAGUAGUUUUAUAGUUGAGAGGGUCUCCAUACAUUUUUACCUAUUAAAUAAAUAAAUAAUUAAUUAAUUAACUUUCCCCGCAUAGGAAUUUUUGUGCGGAUAACGCUUGCAACAAAUUACCGUUUCGCAUAUCGAAUCUUGGAUUAUCCGUCUAACGGGCGCAUCCAAAGAAAAUUAUUUUAAUUUUUAUGGGGCAAAAAUGUGGAAAGAGCUCCCUGACAUUUAGCAUAUUUGCAACUCACUACUAAAUUUUUAAUUUUGAUAAUUACACUCUUUUUAAUCGAAGUUAGUAAAUACUCAGUAUUUUGGUCACAUGUAUUUCAUAUAUAAUCUUGUAAAACUUAAAAUUGCAAAAUAUUUUUUUUUUGUUUUGAUAUACAAAACAGUAAUAAAAAUUAGAAAUAAUUCACUCUAUUAUUUAAUCAUGAUGUUUGAUUAUUGUAAUUAGAAGACACAAUAAUUUUUGUUGUGUCCUAAAGUUACGUAAAAUUAUGUGUAAAAUAUUUAUGCAGUAACUUUGUUGAAGAAGAGGAGCAUAUUAAAUUACACACUAAGUUACAAAAUAUCCUCUUAUAAAUAUCUAUUUUUUUACCUCUUUCUUCUAAACUUUUAAAAAUCUAUAUUUUACCCUCUUAAUAUUUUAAAUUAUUGCAUUUAGCCCCCUCCAUCAGGGUUCAAGCACUAUUCCAUCAAUUUUUUAUAAUUUAUACUGAAAAUAUCUUUUAAAAUAAUCAAAAUUAUAAUAAAAAUUAUUCUUUUUUAAUAGAAAAAGUAAGAAUAAUUUGAUUAUUUUGUCCUCUCUAUUAAUCCUGUAACGCUCUGAAAUUAUUUCUAAAUUUUAAGAGGGCAAAAUAUAGAUUCUUGAUAGUUAGAGAGCGAAGGUGAAAAAGCGAGUAUUCAUAGAAAUUUUUUUAUAAUUUAGUCUAAGACUAUAUGGUGAAAUAUAAAGAUCUAAUUAUCAAAAUUAGAAGCUUAGGCACCUAUUUGAAAAAGUGAUAAAGAUCAGGGGGUUCUUUGUAUAUUUUUCCCAAUUUUUACCCAACUCGAUCCCUAAUGUCCCCAAAUCCCAAAUCCGUCCAUUUUAGAGAGAGAGAGAGAGAGAGAGAGAGAGAGUGCGAAUUCAAAACGACCCCUCCCCCCCUCUCUCCUCUUCGUCGUCUUCGUUCUCUCUCUCCUCUCUCUCUCUCUCUCUCUCUCUUCGUUCCCACACGGAGGUGGCGGCGCUUCGUAGGGUUUCGCUCCCCCCACGCCGAAGCGACACCGCGACCCUUCUCUCUCUACAUAUAGACGCAUCCGUACGCGAUCGGUCUCUCCCUCUUUGAUCGCUUCCUCGUUCAAGAAUCGAAGGUAUCGCGAUCGUUUCCGCAAACCCUACCUUUUCUUUACAAUUCACGUCACCAUUCGAGAAUCGGAUCAUCCGUUUCUUGUAAUUGUGCUAAGCAAUUGUCGAGUUUAUUAGAUUUUUAGGUAUCUGAAAUAGUACUUUGAGUUCUUGGAAUAGGAUUUUAAUUGCAUACUUGUGAAAUUCUUACUGUUCUAAUCCUGUAUGUUGGAUUCCAAUAAUGGACAUUUGCUUUGCUGCAGAGGGACCAGGGACAAAGUUGAUUUUUUUUCUUCUGUGCAGUGAGCUUCUAAAAGAUGAUAGGUUCAUUUCUUACUAGAGCUCUAAUGUAAGCAAAUAUUCCAUGUAUCGAGAUUUUGUGGAUAGAAAGGGUGUGGUUGAAGACAAUGAACUGAUAUUUUACUCUCCUUUUGUAUACAGCCUUGCUCUUGGAUAUGCUUAUCCAGCAUAUGAUUGCUAUAAGACAGUGGAACUGAACAAGCCAGAAAUUGAGAAGUUGCGCUUUUGGUGCCAAUAUUGGUUAGUUGCAUCACUUAUUUGUGGGAAAAAUGUUUUCGACUCUUUUGGUGCGAUAUAUAUUUCUAAAACAAAGAAUACCAUAAUGGCAUUUUGCAGGAUCUUAGUUGCACUUCUGACAGUUUGUGAGAGGGUUGCAGAUAAUUUUAUAUCAUGGUAAUGAAUUUUUCUUUAUGUAGCCAAAAUAUUUGUCCUUGGAAUUAUGAAUUAUUUUAUGCUAUUCCAUUUUUAUUUUGAUUUGAUCUAAUGGCUGCCCUUUCCAUCUUAAAGGUUGCCAAUGUAUAGUGAAGCAAAGUUGGCUUUCAUUGUGUACCUCUGGUAUCCUAAAACAAAGGUAAGAUAUUCAUUAUUGGGAAGUGGGAAUAUAAGUUAUUCUUUGUGUUUAGAAGCCUACUUAUGUUGGAUGAUUGCAGGGGACAACAUAUGUCUAUGACACGUUCUUCCGGCCAUAUGUCGCGAAGCAUGAAACGGAGAUAGAUCGUAAUUUGCUUGAAUUGAGAACAAGGGCUAGUGAUAUUACUGUGCUAUAUUUUCAGAGAGUUGCGAGUUAUGGCCAGACAAGGUUUUUUGAAAUUUUGCAGUAUGUUGCUUCACAAUCUCAGGCGCCAAGAACUCGAAUGGUUCAGGUAUUCUUUAGUCCAUGAUAAAUUGGAAUAUGUUGUAUCUUAGCCUUGUGAGUGUUUUUUCCCCUCAUUUUAAUUACAUUUAUUAUCUAUAUUUACCUAUAUUACAUCUAUGUGAAAGUGCGUGACCUUUUAGUUGCAUUAACGAAAUGAGUAUACCCUACUUUUCAUAGAACGAAUGUUCUUGCGAUGGUUUUUGUUAAGUCCUUCUAAUUGUGGCAUGGCUGGUUGCAUCCUACUUUUUUCACAAAGCAUUCUUAUCUUGUUUACUGAUUUACUUUAUGUUUAUUUGCUAAACUUCUAGCUGCAAUUAAUUGGUGGUGGCAUUGUAGUUUUCUUUUAAUUGUUAGAGGCUCACUACUAUGAAUACAGAGACUGAUUUUUUGUCUCUCACUGGUAUGCAACACUAGAAAAGGAUAUUCUUUGACAUUGAUGAGUGCUGGCUAUGUGCAUUGAUAUUCUUGGAAAUCCCCCUAUCUAUACGUGUAUAGAUAAAGAGAGGGAAAGGGAGAGAGAUUUCAUGUUAACUGACUCGAGUGAUUUCAUGUUGAUAAUCUCCUUUUUUUUCGGAAAGAUGAAAUGCAUUGUGUGAAUGAAUUCUGUGAGGCAGAAGUAUGUAGCUUAGAUGUAUAAUGUGAUCUAACUAGUGUGCUAUGGUUAAUGUUCCAUCAUCCUGAGUUUCUAUAAGUGGGCUAGAAAACUAUUCAAAGAUAAUUUCAGUAUGGAUACUGUGGUUGAUAAUAUUGACAUCAGUAAGAUAGAGUUGUCCAUGUGAAAUUUGGAUAAUAUUGAAGCUUUUGGAUAAUAUUGAAGCUUUUGAAUGAUGUCUAUUCCUAAAUUUUCAAGUGCUUCAGUUGUUCUUAACUAGCUCUGGCUGGUGAGUUUGCUAUGAUAGUUGAAGUAGUUGAGGUUUUAGGAUUUUUAUUUAUGUUUAUAUUUAUAUAUGUACUUGCAGAAUUAAUUAUAUGGUGGAAAUUUGGGUGGAGAUUAAAGGUUGUGUAAUUUAAAGCCCCUUAAAAUCAAGAGCAUUGGAAAUCAGGAUAUUGGUUGUUUUGGAUUCUUGGAAUCGUAAUUCUGUAGAAUGUCGUACGACUUCUUUGUAGUUGGUUCUUUUACCGCCUCUUCUUCUGUUUCCCUCCUCUUCUCUGCAGUCCUCUCUCUUCUGUUUAUGUUAUCUUUGGUGAUUAAUUAAGAAUCAAUUUUGUCUUUUUGAGCCAAGGCAAAUUUCAGACUGGUAAAUCGGCUAUGCAAUUUAACUGUUAAUAUUAACAGCACUGAAAUUGAUGUAUUUUGCAAUGUAUGGUGGAUAGUCAACUAUGCCAUUCACAGUAUUGCAAUAUUUGGUGGAUAAAUUAUCAUUGGUAUACUUUGGAGAAGAUCAUGAUAUUUUGUACUCUUUUGAUGAUGAGUUUAUGCAACGCAUUGAAUAAUAGAACUGCCACCAGAAGUAGACUCUUGAUAGUUCAAUAUGGCAGUUGAACAGAAAAAUUAUCUUUUGAUGUACUUUAAAGGCAUAAAUCUCUUCAAAGGUAAUAUUGAAUUUGAUUGAUAUGUAGAAUCACAUCAUUAGAUCUCUAAGAAAGGUCAAUAUAAGAGUUGAUCGACAUGAAUACUCGAAGUUCUUUGAUAUGUAGAAUCACAGUAUUAGAUUUCUAGAAAGGUCAGCGUAGAAGUUGAUCAAUAUGAAUACUCACGUCAGAUCUCUAGGAAAGAGUUAUCAAUUGGAUCUUCAGGCUUAGUUGCCUUAAUAUUGUGUCUCUCUGUUUGAUCUCUUCGUAGGAAAACAAAACAAAAAUGAAAGAGUAGAAAACAAGUCUGCGAAAUGGAAAGACUAAUUAUUAGGUUUCCACAUUAUUCUUCUCAGUCUUCUUGUUCUAGCGACAACCAAUUAAAUAGGAAUAUCAGCAAAUGGGGAGAAAAUACAUAUGAGAAGAGGCUGACCGUUAGUUAUAUAAUAAUCUCUUACUUCAAGAAGUCUAGGAAGUUAAUAGCAUCUGAAUGUUCAGCAUUUCAUUUUAGGACGAGCCAUAUACAAAAAGUACCAUGAAUAUCGGCUAAAACUAUUAUAUCGAAAAAUUGUAGGUAUAGGUGAUUGAUUUUGCUGAUAGCUAUCCAUUACCCUUUUGUGCCUGUUUAUCUUCAAUGUAACAGAAGAUUUCUAUUGCUUUAAAGUCUCAACAUAACGUAGCAUCCUUAUAUACUUUAGUUUCAAGUGCUUCUGCUUAAAAAGCUAUAAUUCUACUAGUCAGUUGUUCUGACAUAUUUGUUUCGACUCACAGAGGCGGCAACCGCCAGAAGUUCGGCAACAGCCUCCUGCCGAGCCACCCGCCCACCCACCCUCAUCCUCUCCGCAGCAACAGCAGCCAACAGCACCACCUCCUCCUCCUGGACCCACCAGGAACCUGAUGCAAGAACAGCCCUCAAUUGCUGCCGCUCCUGCCCAUCCGCAAGCCUCAUCAAAUCCCACCCGUACCCUCCCAUCCACUUCAGGGCCUGCCAGCCUCAGCUCUGCAUCUGAGGAACCAAUGCAGGUUGACAACACCGACAACCCCUCGGCAAAUGGAGAACUACAGAGUCCUGCCUCUGAAGAGACAGUCCUGGAGGAGGCUAUCCGUGUAACUCGAGCCCGGCUGAGGAAACGUGCAGCUGCUGCUGCACCCUCUACUCAACCCUCUUCUCAUUAGUACCCUCUCUCUCUCUCUCUCUCUCUCCCUCUCUCUCUCUCUCUCUCUUAUUUUAGCCAUUCUUUAGCUUUUGCUUAGUAAUACUAUUAGCUAGUUCUAGUUAGUAGUUGUCGCAGUAGUUGUAACAAUGUAAAUAAAUGACCUCAAGUGGAACUUUAUUGAUGAUGAUGAUGGUGGUGAUAACCUUUUAUUGAUGAUGAUGAUGAUGAUGAUGAUGAUGAUGGUGAAAGAAAAAAAGAAAAAGAAAACUCAAGGUGAGCCCUUGAAAAUGGAGGAGGGGGAGAGGGGAGCCGAGUCGAGCUGGUAGAGGCCAAGGGAGGGGCCGACGAAGCGGAAGAGGACCCAUCCGCCGAUGACAAUAAAGAUGGAGGCGUAGGCGAACUUGUUGAGCCAGAAGAGGAGGCCCUUCUCCCCCACAUAGAGCUCCACAGCCUUCUCCCCCAGCGUCAUCGCAUCCCACUCCUUUUUCGGCGGCGGUGACGGCGGCGCCUCUGCCGCUGCCUUUCUCUGCUUGGCCUGGUUUUUGGAACGUACCCGAUACUUGAUGUUGAGUGUGGUCCGCGGCGUUUUGGUUGUGGUGUCGUUGUUUGUGCCGUCGACGGUGAUUGGUGGUUGUUGUUGUUGUUGUUCUUCUCCUUUGUUAUCGUCGUUGGCGGUGGCCGGGCCAGUUGCUCGGAGUAUGACUAGGGGUCGGCGGCGGCGAGGAGCGAGGAAUAGGGAGGGGGAUUUGUGUGUGGUGUGGGUAGAGUUGGGAGGAGGGAAGAGGGGAGAGGGGAACGCCAUUUUCGCAUUCAUCGUUUUGGCUAGCUUCUUGAAUUCUUGCUUGCUAUUGCUACUAUUGCUAUUGCUAUUUGGUGGUGUGUGUUUGGUUCUCUCUCUCUGUCAGCUUUGGUUUACCUGUGCUCGUCGUGUAUAUGCUUGGUUGGGGACUUGAUGGUUCUCGUUAUCCGAUUCAUGUGUUUAUCUUUUAAGCUGGUUUUCUUUGUGAAAUGACUGUUUUGCUCUUGGAGGAGGAAAGGGCUUUAGCAGGAACUAGGAAUCGGUUCAUUGCACCCUUGCCUUUUCACUUUCUUAUAAAUAUAUGUCAAAAUAUCUGUAUUUCUGCAGUUAAUUUUUCUUAAUCUAUUAUAAAUUUUUAUAAUUAUAUAAAGAUCUUUUUACUUCUGCAUCUGCGGUUAAAAUAAAAACUAGGUAAGCAUUUUCUAUAUCUAUGCAUAUGUUUAAGAUCCGAUGUGGAAGCGUCCAUUUUUUUUUUUUUUUUUUCGAAAGUCUUGACCUCAAGGGAUGUUAGAUUUGUUACAAAUAUACAAUUUUACACGGAUAGAAAAUUUACUGUUCAUACGGACAGAAUUUUUUCUGUAUUUAUAUGGCGUCGCACAAGUACAAGAUACAACUACAGUGUAUAUAUAUAUAUAUAUACACACACACACACACACACACACACACACACACACACACACACACACACACACACACGACCAUAUAUACUCACCACAUCACCACAUUACAUAAUUGGAAGAAAAAAGAAGAAGCAACGUGUUUUCUUGUUGAAGAAAAAUUCACGCAGGAAGCGGAGGGCUAGAACUAAAAGUGCGAACCACAUAAGCAUAAAAAUUGAAGAAGUAAUUUUAGUUAGUAAAAUUUUUUUAAAAAAAUUGAUGAGAUAAGUAAAAAAUGAUGAUCCUUAGAUGUGCAUCUUAUUUAGAGUGUGUGCCACUACAAUUAAAGAAUUGGAAUUACUCUUCUUUCUUAUACAAAAAUAAAUAAAUAAACAAACAAACAAAGGAGGACUAGUUCAUUCUUUCAAAUUUUCAGAGGGGGAAACCUCGGUCGCAUCGCAUGUAAACAAAGCCUCGGGCCGGAGUUCGACCCACGGCCCACAUUAAAUUGAUACGCUCACCCACCUUUUAACAUCAAUCUACGCCCUCCUUUUACCCCUCAUUAUUAUUAUUAUUUUAUUAAUUCUUAAAAAGUUCGAGAGGGGGUUCACCAAAUCGGAGCGAAAGGGGAGAGACGCGAUGAUCUACCGGAAGUGGUCUCUGCUCUCAUCGACGAUCGUGAUUUGGGGCGGCGCCGCCACCGUCGGCCUCGCCGGGUUCUUCCUCUUCGGUGGCAAGGUCAGAUUUUUGUUUUUUCUUUUGUUUUUUUGUUUUUUUUUUUAAUGAUCUCGUUUACGGGUUUUGAUGCGGAUGCGAGGAUCUGCGGUUACUCUCAGCUUGAGACCUGUUGGGAAUCAGUAUCUGUUGAAUCAGUGUGUUUGAUUGUCGAAAAUCGAGUGUUUGUUUAGUUAUUUGCCCGGUUUGAUCUCUUUCUUACGAGUAUCUCCGUAGAUCCUCUUUUUUUUUUUAAUAUAUAUAUUAAUGUUCCUGAAUAUAUGAUGCUUAAUCUGAUAUAUUGGAUGAAUUUACUUAAUUUAUCUCAAAGUUUCUCAAAGUUUCUGUAUUUUCAUAUAUCUGAACUUCAAUUUGUUGGAAAUGUGACACGCUUCAAAUUAAACUUAUAGAGCCUAGCCCCUAUAACUUUUUUUGGAAGACAAAGAAAAUAAUAAGAGAAGAAGAAGAAUAAGAGAUGAUACGGUGAUGAUGUGGAAGUUGACUCAACUCUCAUAUCAUCUUCAUUUUUUUUAAGAAUGAGGUGGUAGUGGAAUUAGUUUUCAUAUUUCUUCAUAUUAUAUAAAACAAAUGAUGUGAUAAUCGAGUCAGCUGUCGUAUCCACCCUCCAUCAGAGAAAUUGAAGAGAUUCUGAUGACGUGACUUGAUUUAAAUAAAGAUUGAAGUUUGGCAGUUCGAUUGCCACGAACUAUAGUUAUGAAUUUUAAACUUUGCAAUAAGUCAAUUACCACCAUUGGUGUAAUUUACCCCUGAAAUAUCUUGUGUAGGUUUCUUUUAGAGCUACCGUUCGGUACGUUUUGAUCUUUUGGUUAGAAAUCCGCAUUUAUGAGAUGAUAUGGUGAUGAUGUGGGAGUUAAUUCAACUAGCAUAUCAUUUUCAAGAAUGAGGUGGUAGCUGAAUUAGCUGUCACAUUAUCUCCAUGCCAUCUCAAGUAGAUGAUGCCGCAGUUGACUGGGCUGUCCCGUCAGCCCUUCAUUAGAGAAAUUAGACAGAGCCCGACAACGUGACGAUUGAAAGAAAUAUUGAAGUUUGGUGGUUCGAUUGCGACAAAAUGGAGUUUCACAACCAAAACUUUGCGAUAAGUCAGUGACAAACGGUGUAAUUUACCCCUAAAUUAUCAUGCAUAGCUUCCCUUCACAGUUAGCAUUUGGUGGGUUUCAAUCUUUGGUUUGAAAUCCGUAUUUUUGGAUCACAAUUUCCUAUUCAUUUUUGGGUGUAGUAUAAAACAUUCACAGUAUAAUAGAGAACAGUAGACGGUAUCUGAAGCGGAAGUGCGUCAAUGGCAUAAAAUGUCUUCCAGAAAGGAGAGUUAGUUGAAGAUUAGGUUAGAAAAUCUGGUGAUGUGACAACAAAGAAUUGGUUUUCUUAACCUUGUUGCUCACAUCUAAACUAGAUGCUGCUUAUUAGACAAGAAAUUUUUGGGUCAAAAAAAAAUAUUAUUGAUAGUGUUUUUAAGAGGUGAGAAAUGGUGUUUGUACGUGAUAACUAUAAAAUUUCAUGUGAUAGCAUAACACAACUAAUGGUUGAAGCACCUCUGUCUUUAUGCAUCAAAAUUGUGUGAAGAAUGAAUAGAUGCAAGAAAGUGGAUAAGCAAUAGCAUCUGGGGGACUAUCAUUGCUUGCUGGCUACUGAUUAUUGAUGGAUGGAGCUGAGAUAGGGAGUAGAGGGAAGUGAUACGGGGCAGUGGAAGCAUGAAGAUAACAUUAAUCGAGUAUUUUAGAGGGAAAGAGAUCUUAUAGUAGUGUUUGGCAUAUCUUUGGGAAAAGAUUUGAAAAGCUAAGUUAACGGUGGUACUAUUUACUUUAAGCAUAAAUGACAAAGAUUCUGAUUACUUGUUUUCAAGAAUGUAUUGGCUUUUAUGAUGUAGAGGAGCAAGGAUUUAGGAUUAGGUAACUAGGGAAUUGUGUUGUGCUUUAGACGCUCGGUAGCAGACUUUUUUUUAUCACCAAGCGAGUCUAGAUCCAUUACUAUAAUUAGUUUAUGCGUUUGAAGAGGUAUAAUUAGAAAUAGCUAUGUUAUUGAUGCAAUUUUCCAUGUUGCAAGGUAGCCAACUUACUAACUGGAUAGCCAAAGCCGAUCAAUCCUUCUGUUGCAACUAGUGAUAUUUAUAUAAUCAACAUUAUUGAGCUGGAAAAUGAAUUGUUAACUUUUUUUUUUUUUCCAGUCAGCAGUAUAAGAAUCUGUUUAGUUCUCCUUGAAUUAGUGGAUUAGGAAACUCCAUUCCUAGUCCUAUUGUGAGAUAUGGUAAUGAAUUUUCUUUCAAGCCAUGUUAACUUUUUUCCUUAGAAUUCUUCAUAUUCCCUUGUUUAUCUUUAGAAACAUUAUCUCGUGAAACUGGGCUAGUCGAGCUUUUCUACUUUUGCUGCAGUACCUUUCUACUGAUCCUAUCCCCCAACCUUCCGAAGAUUAACUCAUGAGCCGUUGGUGUCAAAAGAGGAGAUAUCAAUCCUUCUCUUCCUUACCCCCUCCCCCUCGAGCUAAGCUUCCUUCACUGACCCCAUUGGAUGAGCUGAGGCCUUUGGCUCUGAACGUGCAAUGUAGAUGCAACAAUUAUAGUUGUGGUAGAGAGUAUAUUUGCACUAGAUUGUGUAUGGUUAAUAGAGAUUGGGAUGGCCCCAAGAUAUGAUGUUCCAAGAAUUGCUUUCUCAUUGGUGCUAUUUUGCCCUUUUAUCUUUUGGUCUCUAAAUUUCUUGUUUAAUCUCUUUUUGUUUACGUUAUAUAAUGUUAUUUUUCCUUUCUUUUUCUUUAGUCUCAAGAUUACAUAAUUCAAUGUUCAAAACAUGUUUCUUUGCUUUUUUCGCCCCUAUAUUUUUUAUAUAAUUACCAUACUUCUCUUUAUGGUUUCUUGAAACGAAGAAAACAAAUAUGCAAGCGAUGCCAAACAAGUUUAUGAAAGUAUGAGACAAAUGGGACAAAACGGUUAAGUCAAAGAAAGAAGUGGCGGAAAAGCACAGCAUAAGCAGUGAAUCCCUAGCUUUUUCGCAUUAGGAUGUUGUUGAUUGUUUUGUGACAUGUAAAUUUUACUAGUCAGAGACCUUAAAAGGAAUAAUGUUUCAUCUGCAGGAGAAGUUCCAAGAUUAUCUGAUCCGUGAGGGUGAGCGGCUCCGGCAGCAGGAUAGGGCCAUGAUGGCUAAAACUAGCAAAGCCUAAAUGAGUCCAUAAGAAGGCGAUUCGGCCAUGACUAUGCCCUUGUUUUAUUUGAACCACUUGGCAUGGUGGGAAUCAGUCUUGUACGUUCAUGUUAAUAAUCGUCGCUUCGGUGACUCUUAAAUCUGUUUGCUUUGUUACUUUGCUUGCAAACUAGUCGCUAUUGAAUGCCAAAUAUGGAUUUUUCAUAUGCUUAUGACAAAUCUGAGUAUGAUUCUACUUAAUUCAGCUCAUCUCCGCAUUCAUCCCAAUUUAGGUCUAAAAUUGUGCAGGUACAGUUAAUUUAGUUAACCAUAGGUUAAAGUCCUAAUGUUUUCAGAUAUGUUCCUGCUGUUAGAAUCUGUGAGAAAAAUUUAGUUAGCUAUAGGUUAAAUACUUUGCCCUAGUUAAUUUUUGACAUUUUUACACCUCUUAUAUUAUACUGUUAUAAUAUUUGGAGGGGUAUAUUUGUGAUGGCAAAAUUGAAAAUAUAAACAGUUUUUAAACGGUUCUCUAACGGUAACAAACCAGAGGGGCAUAUUUGAAAAUUUUAGGAUUUUUGUAAGAAUAAUUUAUGAAAGUUGAAUUUGAUAGGAAUAUAUUUGUAAUUCACUAUAUUUGUAGAAACUUAUAUGCAAUUAACCUCCUUUUUUUUUUUAACUAGACUUCUGAAAAGAUUUUGUCAACCAUUGGAUGUACAUCUCUGUACGGAUAGUAUAUUUCAAUCACAAUCAUAUUAAGACGUAGUAAUGUAGUGGCUAAAAGCAUUAUUUUUAUACUAUAAAAGGCUUAACAGUUCAAAAUCGAUUAUAUUCUUUUCUUUUUGUUGCUUUUAAAAAUAGACAUACUUUUUUGGUGGCAAUUGCAAUCUUUAUUUAAGAUUGCAACUAUUUUUCAAAUUUUUAGGCCUUCUAUAACAUAAAAAAUAGUAUCUUUAGUCAGCAUAAGUUUUAGUAAUUCGAGAACAUCUCUCGUGCUUUCGAAAGUACAGAGGUUUCCGUACUUGUAAGUUGUUUUCGAUGAUAGGACAUCCGAUUUGACGAUCGGCUCCGCAAUGCAUAAUCUAUACUAUUGGAACUAUUUAGAAACCAAAUUUUAUAAUUUUUCGACAUUAUUUACCAAGCGAUCACAGGGUCUCAAAAAUGACUAUUUUAACGACCGAUGUGGUACGUUUUUAAGUUCAAAGGUGUAGAAAUAUCUAAAUUACAUGAAACUUUAAUAGAAAAUUCUAAACAAUCUUCCGAUUUGAAAUUUGAAUCAUUUAUCACUAUUUUUUAUGAGAUUUUUAUUAUCAGCCGUUCAUUUUGAGGCUACUCGUUCACUAGGCAAAUAAAGUCAAAAAAUUAUGAAAUUUGGUUUCUAGAUAGUUCCAAUAGCGUAGAUCAUGUUUAACGGAACCGAUCACCGAAUCGGACGUCGCAUCAUUGAAAAUAAUUUACAAGCACGGACGCCUCCGUACUUUCAAAAGCAUAGGAGCCUAGCUCUUAGAAAUUCUACAUUUCGAAAAGUGCUCCUUGUGGAAUUUUUUGUUCAUUGGGUUCACCCAUUCACUCAAUGCAUCGAGGUUGGGUUGAGCUUAUUUUGACUAAAGCAGCAAUUUGGGUCAACCUAUUUUACUUGGAAAUUAAGUUCGAUCGAUCGAGCUUCCUUCACCACAAUCGAGUCAAAUCAGACUAGUCAACACCUUGUGGCCUUUUUUCCCAACUUCUAAUCAACCUAAAACGAACUGAUCAAUAUUAUUAAUUUAUUGUUCUCUAUUAAUCUAAUAUUAUUAUUACCAUAAUUUAUCUAGAAGGGUAAAGAAAAAAAGCUUAAACAAAACAAAUGGCUAAAGUAUAGAAAACCUCUUUGAAUAUAUUGGUAUUUUCAAUAAAGAUGAUCACUUAACAUCUCUUCCUUUUUCUGGUAAUACCUGUAGCAUAUUAAAUAUAAAAAUAUAUAAACACCGUUCUUUAAUAGUUUAAAUUUUUAGAGUACAACGGUUGUUUCAUGAAACCCUAGAUCUCAAACAAUCAUUAUAUUUUAAACGCUUAAGCUAUUAGAGGGUGGUCUUUAUAUAUUUUUAUAUUUAACACAGCACAUUCAAUAUUCUCCACUUUGCGAAUAACAUGUAGCUAAAUUUUUUUUUUUUAAAAAAAAGUUAUAACUCAGCAUGUCUGAAUACUAAUUUUCCUACCAUACAAGACAUAUAAUUAUCAUCAUCAUUAUUGGAUGAUAUUUUAGAAUUAUUUAGUAUUUUACGAUAAGAAACUUUUCUCAAUCAUAAAUUCUUUUUAUAAUUGAAAAAGAAGAAGAAGAAGACUCAACUUAGAGACUAAGAAAGGUAUACUUAUCAUCAAUGUACUAUUAUUUUUUUAAUUAGACUUUUUCGUUGCGUUGUUUUUUUUAUGACAUAGUGAUGAUCAUUUAGCAUGUUACUAGUAACUAUAAACAACGGUCAAUGCUAAGCUUGGGUCGAAAUUUCGCAUGCGACUCGUAGACGAUGUGUUUGUUUGCUUCCUCUAAUUUUCUCCAUCCAGAAUUUGAAUUUUCGUCCGAGCCAACUGCAGGUUUGAGCAUCUGCUGUCGUCGGGCUGCAUGGGAUAAUGCAGCUGACGCAGGUGCAGAAAUUUAUGCUAACUGCAGAGAAAAUUCCAUCCCCAAUUGCCGACUGGAAUAUUUUGGGAUGACAAUUUUCUCCGCCGAUUCUGACAUCCACAGAAAUUUGCUCUGGAUGGGGCUGGACUUGCAGGUAAUAGGGCAGGAACAGGGAUAUUACUUUUCGUCCUGCAAAAAUUUCGAUUCUCUAAAAUAAUAUAAUAUAAUAAUAAUAAUAAUAUGAGUGGGCUGGUAUGCUUAUGGAAGCACAUAGCCCUCCGUGCUUCCAAGUUGUUUUCAAUGUUCGGACUUUCGAAUCGACGAUCGGCUCCGUUAGAAUUGAUCUAUAGUAUUUGAAGUACCUAGAAAAUAAAUUUUGUGAUUUUUCGAUUUCAUUUGCCUAGUGAUCAAAGUGGCUCAAAAUCAAUAAUUUUAACGGCCGUUGUGAGCCGGUUGCAAGUUUAACGAUGUAGAAAUAUUCAAAUCAUAUGAAAUUUUGAUAGAAAAUUCUUUAUACUAUAUAAAAUAAGAUCAAUAACUUUGAUCUAAAAUUUUAAUGUCAUAUCAUCAUAUUUUGUAAGAUUUUUAUUUUCAGCCGUUGAUUUGAGCCACUUCGAUCACUAGGCAAAUGAUAUUGAAAAAUCGCAAAAUUUAUUUUCUAGAUACUUCAAAUACUCUAGAUCAAGUCUAACGGAGCCGAUCGUCGAUUCGAAAGUCCAAACAUCGAAAACAAAGUGGAAGCACGGAGCCCAUAAGCAUCCUAGCCGCACUCUAAUAAUAAUAUGAAUUGAAAUAGAAUAUAUCUAAAAGUACUGAAUCUAUUAGUGCUUUAAGAUUUCUAACCCUUAGACGAAGGUAUUGUAGGGUUAGAAUGAUAGUAAUCCAUUUGGGUUGAGUAGUGGUAGAUGGAAUAGUAUUUGAUUCAAAUGUCACUAAUAGUCAAAGAAUAAAUCUAAAGACUAAAAACCUAAAAGUACCAAUGGCUCAGUGCUUUUAGAUGUAUUCUAGCUUAACUCAUAAUAAUAUUAUGAGUUGAGCUGAAAUGCUAUUAGUAGCAAACGGGCUCUGUUGCCAUCCAUUUGUUUUCGAUAAUGGAGCUUACAAAUUGACGAUUGGCACCGUUAAACAUGAUCUAUACCACCAUGUGAAGUAUUUAGAAAUCAAAAUUUAAAUAUUUUCGACUUUAGUGGCCUAAUGAUCAAAAGAUUUUAAAUUUUGUAAUUUUAAUUGUCGAUAUGAGACGUUUUCUAGUUUAACGGCGUAAAGAUAUCCAAAUCAAUUGAAUUUUAGUUGGAAAGUUUUUUAAACUAUUUAGAACAAGAUCUUGAUCUUGAUUACAAGAUUCCUAUCAUCACUUUUUAAAAAAAAUUUAUUUUCAGCCGUUCAUUUUUGUGUCCACUUGAUGGAUAAGAGAAUAAUGUUAGAAAAGUAUGAAAUGUGGUUUCUAGAUGCUUCAAGUUGUAUAGAUCAUAUUCAAUAGUGUCGAUCGUUGAUUCGGAGACUCCAUCACCGAAAAUAAAUGGGUGGCAACGAAGCUCGUUUGUUACUUAUAGCUUUCUAGCUCACCACAUAAUAUUAUAUAGUUCUUAGUUAUUUAUAAUCUAAUUAAAUAUUUGAUUAAUGUAUAUUUUUAUUAAUUUAAUUUGUCAUACUUGAUACUUGAUAAUUUGACAACAAGGCCCUGUUUGGAUGCAUAGUUAAAAAACUCCAUAGAAUUUUUAUUCUAUAGUUUUGGCCUAAAUGAAAUACGGAAUCCUGUAACUACAAAAAUAUUCCACAGCUUCAUUUUUAAGAUGUUUGGAUACAGAUCAUACAAUUCCACAGUAUUUAUAACAAUUAAAUUUCUAAAAUUUUAAAAUUCAAAAUUCAAAACAAAUUCAAAUUUUCAAAUUCAAUUUUAAUAAAUAAAAUUCAAAAUUCAAAAUUAUAAAUUAAAAUUAAAAUUAAAAUUUAAAAAUUUAAAUUAGUUUAUGUCUUAAUUUGAAAUUGAAAUUUGGAAUUUUGAAAUUUAAAAUUUGAAAUUGAAACUUUAAAUUUUAAAAUUUAAAGUAUACCAUUUAAAUUUAAAAUUUGAAAAUUAAAAAAUCUAUAAUUAAAAUUUUAAAUUUUAAUUUAAUAAUUUAUAAUAUUUAAAAAAUUAAAAUUUAAAAUUUAAGUUUAAAUUUAAAUUUUGAAAUUGAAAAUUUAAAAUUAAAUUAAAAUUAUAAAUUUGAAAUUUGAAAUUUGAAAUUUGAACUUUUUGAAAUCUGAAAUUUGAAAUUUGAAAUUUGAACUUUUUGAAAUUUGAAAUUUGAAAUUUGAAAUUUAAAAGUUGAAAUUUGAAAUUUGAAAUUUGAAAUUUGAACUUUUUGAAAUUUAAAAUUUGAAAUUUGAAAAUUGAAAUCAAAAUUAAAAUGAAAUUUAAAAUUUUAAAAAUUUGAAAUUUAAAAUUUUAUGUUGAAAUUUAAAAUUUAGAAAUUAAUACAUCUUUGGGAGCCCAAAAUGGUGUAAUUUUUUUCCUUUGGUUAAAGUGGAUUGUAGGUUUACUCCAUUUUUUGAAGUAUAGUAUAACUAUACUUCAAAAAUUAUGUUAUUUUCUUUUCUUCCAAACACUUCAUAGGAUUAUUUUCCUACCGGCGUAGCAUAGUUUAACUAUGCUACGUUUUUAGAGGUAUCCAAACGGGGCCUAAAUAAAAUUGAUAUCCGAACCCGAAUCAAUGGGUUUCCGUCUUUUACACCCGUAUUCGAAAUUAUAUAUAUUUAGCAUUAGAUAAAUAAACUCCGUUUAGAUUUGAAUUCGGAUAAAAUUUAUAGUAUUUGUACUCGUUGACAUCCCCAUCCCUGCAACGUCCCGCACCGUUGCCAUCCCUAACGACAUUGGCUGGUCAACAGAUUGCAUUGCAAUACUUACACACGAAGGAUACAUACUUAGCAGACUAUAUCUUUAUAUCUAUUCAAGAUCAUUGAAGACUGUCAAGAAGCUUAAUUAAUGGAUUGCCAGGCUGUACAUCUUGGCAAGAAAAUAAGCCCAUAAUUUACUGACUUCCAAGCCCAUAAUUUACCUAAGUUGGCAAGUAGACUUGAACAAGGAUCCAUGCUUACUAGAACUCCUCAGUACCAGAAUUGUUCUGAACUACUUUUUUUUUUAGGGGCAAUUGCUUAUAUACCUCUGAAAAGUAUCUGACUUUUCGAUUUACCCCUCUUAGAAGACUAAUAUUGAAAAUACUCCUCCUACGUUCCAACCUAUUUCUAAUAUACCCCUAAAGUUAAAAUCUGUUAAUUAACUCUGUUAUCUCUGUAAAAUUACUAUUUUGCCCUUUCAAAUAUACCCUUCCACAAUCACUUUCUUUCUUAUUUGCCUUUAAAGUCAAGGGUAUAAAAAGUAUUUUGACUUUUGGUCUUUUCCAAUAUACCUCUCUACCGUCACUAACCUUUUUUAUUUGCCCUUAAGUUAAGGGCAAAAUUAGCAUUUUAAUUUUUUUAACUGUGGUAGAUAUUUAACUCACGUUUAACCCAGGUUAACUUAACAGGAAAUAACUGCGGAGGUAUUUUGCAAUAACGGUGAAACAUAUGAGGAGUAUUUUAGAAAAAAAAAAAUAGACGUAAAUCGGAUAUUUCCAAACGUAUGAGGAGUAUAUAGGCAAUUAUCCCUUUUUUUUUAUAGGAACAAAGAUGCAUGUUGACUGGAACUCAGUUCCAGAAUUGUUCUGAACUACUUUAAAUACCACCUUUAUAAUUUUAUAUUUUUUCACUUUAGUAUCAUAUAAUUUAAAAUGUAUUACUUUAGUACUUAUAUUUUUUUUUUUUUUCUCUUUCUAUUAUUCUCUCUGUUAAUUCUUUCGUUAAAAGAGUAGCUCUAAACGAUACAUCCCUUCCCUUGGCACUUUCCCCGUUUUACUCUGAUCACAGAAGGAGCUCUUUGCCUGUUAGCAAUUGAAUCAGAAUAAGUUUUUGGAGUGAUAAAAUUAAAACCGCAAGAUACUAAAGUAAAAAUUCAGUAAAUUACAUGAUAGUAAAGUGAAAUAUUCGAUAAAUCAGAGGUGGGGUAUCUGAAAUUUUUUUGUAUAUAAUUUAAGAAAAAAUUAACGGCUUGAAAUCAUAGAGUACUAAAAUGAGUAAGGAUGAAACCACAUGGGUGCUAUUUGAAGUUUACUCUUUCUAAUACAAAUGAUAGCAAAAUGAUAGUUAUUUAAUUAGUCUAUGGACAAUUUCUUCGGUGGAAAAAAAGGUUUAAUAUUCUACUUGACUUUAUUAACCUACGUAUUCAACUUAAAUAUGUCUUAUAAAAACGUGGGAAUUAAAAAAUUAGUUUAUUUGAUGUUGAACCUAAAAAAAUUCUGCUUGACUUUACAGUUUAAGCUGUUUUGUAUAAACUCCAUUAAUUUUGCGUCACCGUGUAUUACAUCAAUGGCUGACAUUUUAGUACUUAAAUUUUAAUUUACUAUAAUAAUUUUUAUUUAAAAUUUUUAAAUUAUUAUAAUCAAGUCUUAUAAUUUAAUUUAGUUAGCUAAAUAUUAAAAAAUUAUUAAUAUAGAAGUAAUAUAAUAUUUCAAUUAUUAUUGCAUUAUGAAUCAUAAUAUGUUUACAUUAUUUUUAUAUAAAUAAUUUGUCAAUAUUUAGUCAACUAAUUUAAAAAGUUUGAGCUAAAACUUAUAACAAAUUAAAGUUUGAGAACCAAAUUAAGCAUCAUGUUCCUUACAGUUUGAGAAACCAAAUAUGCAAUUUACGUACCCAUGGUUUAUGCAAAAAUAUAACCUUUUUUUUUUAAUAAAAGAACAUUUAUAUCUUUUGAAAGAAAAAAAGAAAUUUUAUCAUAAAUUGAAAAGCCAUAUUACUUUAGUCGUAAGGUGUACCAAAAAAAGUAGCAAAAAGUUUGAGAGUUGUUCGCAAAAACUUUAGAACUUUAGCUCUUUUAUAAAUAGGCAUUUUGAAAUUUUAAAUUUUGGCGAUUAAAUUUCGUAAAUUUUAUCAAAUAAUUUAAUAGUCUCUCUCUUCAAUCUAACUUAUAAUCAAGUGUAAAACUGUUUUAAUCAUGUGCGUAUAGUCUUAUAAGAGUUUAAAGAUAUUUAAACAUGUAUCUUUUUUAUUCCAAAUUUAAUAAUCAAGCAUGAGAAUUGAGGAAUAGGAUUAACCUAUCUUAAAUUUUUGUUUCUUUUUUUCUUAUAUAUAAUAAAAUAGAAGAAAUAAAUUUAUUUGUGUUUUGAAGCUUAAAUGCAAAACAUAGGGCAUUAAAAAACAAAAAAAGUUUCUAGCUAGAGAUCAAAUAUAUAUAGAAUGAAAGGCAAAUAUAAAGCAUUAAAAAAAUAAUUAAUAAAUACAAUUGCUAAAAAAUAUUACAUGAAAAAUAAACAUGUACAAUUUUGAUGCAUCCAUGGCAUAAUUAGUGAUAUUGUAAAAUACAUCAUUUUUUAUAUAUGUCAUCAAAUAGUUAUUCAUUAAUUGAUCAUAAAUUUAAAAAAAUUAAAUUUACAAUUACUAAAAAGUAAACAGAAUAAGUGAUGCACAUAUCUUAAGCAAUUAAAAAAAAUUAUGUAUGAAGUGUCUUGAUGCACACCAAAGUAAGGUUAGAUUUGGGAUUGGGGGCCUUAAUAACUUUAUAAUUAGAUGAUAAAGGGAGAGAUUAAGAGAAAAAUAAUGUGGAUAUAUAGGUUUGAAAGAAGAAAAGGAAUGAGAUUAUUAUUUUUAUAAAAUAAAUUAUUAACUCCGGUCUACUGUCACAUAUUAAUUUUACCUUAAUUCAAUAAUUUGUUAUGUAUUUUUUUUAAUACUAAAAUUUUUUUAAAAAAAAUUAAAUUUUGAAAAAAAAAUUACAAUUCUUAGACAGAAAUAAAAGUGACACGUGGUAAUAGAUUAGGGAUCCCAAAUGUGGCAUCAUUGGGGAGCUCUCCGCUAAAUUUUUUUUUUUUCCUUAAUUGACCUCUGGACACACAAUAGGUAAAAUUUAAAAAACUUAAUUGCUAAAAUUAAAAAUUUUGGCUUCUUUUUUAUUAUUGUCUUUCUUUUUAUUUUUUUAAAGACUAAUUUUACAUAAUUUAAUUUGUCUGAGUACAAGCAUUUUACAUAAGGCUAAGUAAUAAAUAAUAAUUUGUUAAAAAAUAAAAAAUAAUAAUUUUAAGUUCUUUUUUAAUGUUGUCAAGUAAAAGUCUUAAAUGGAAGGAUGAUGCUAACUAUUAAUCUCAAAAGUUCGAGAUAUUAAAAAAACACAAUGAUUUAUUUAAAGUGUACAAACAAAAUAUCUACUGAUCUGGAUUGUGCCUCGGCCCAACAAAAUAUAGCGCUAAAAUAUCUCUUUAGAAACGAGUUAUAAUUGGGGAGCUCUUUCUGUAAUGGAUAAAAUUUUAGUGGAAUACUUCCCAGUAACACCUCGCUUGUUGGGAAGCAUCUGAUCCACUGACAAGUCUUAAUUUUGCAUCUAUCCAUUGGCUAGCUCAUCGAAUAUUUUUUAUAUUGAAAUCUAAAAAUUUUAAAUUAAAAAAAAAAGAUAAUGAGGUAUUAAGGUUUAGUUUGUUAUUGAGAUGGAUCUAACGUUAGUAGAUAGAAUGGAGUUGAGAAAAAACAUAUAGGAAUAUGAUUCUACGUUCUCCGAUAGAACCGCAUAAAAUAUAUCGUAACCGACUAAUCGUAAUAUGCGGAACGCAAUAUUACGUACGAAAAUAAAUAAAGUAUAUUUUCAUCGUCCUUUCUCACCGCACAUAACGCAAUCUCCUUUAUCGCCCUUUCUCACUGUUCAUAACGCAAUCUCCCCGCAAUUUCAAAUGAAAUCUAAGAUUCCGUGUAGGAGACGUGGUUAGGAGGAAUUCUAUACUGUCACACUUGCACCACGUCAUUAAUAACAAGCCAAUCACAUUCUUUCUUUUCAAAUAAAAAUACAAUAAAAAUAUUUUUUUAAAAUCAUGAUGGGACAUAUAUUCCUAAAAAAAAAUUAAUUAGUUUAUUAUGUCACAUCAUUAAUAUAUUCUUUGCAUUCUAGGAUUUUUCGUGGUUCAGAGCUCUCUCUUUUUCAUGUACAUUUUUUUCCAAAAGAAAAAGGGAAAAGUUUAAUCGAGACAGAUUCGUACGAGAGAAUUUGAAGCCGAGAAGAGUGCCACGUGGCAGUGGGCGGCGCGCGCGGAUUAGUCCGUACACGGUCGGCGACGUACUUUGCGGUGGGCCCCGCGUUCUAGAAACGCAGGCUAAUUACGCCACGCACACCAAAUUUGAUCUAAAAAUGAUUAAUACGUUUUUUUUGGGUUACGGAGGAACGCGACAGCACUACUUUAAAAUUAAUUAUAUAAAAAAAAUUAUAUUUUAAUUUUUAAUUUAUUUACUGCCACAUCACAAAUGUAAUAUUCAAUACCAAAAUAAAUAAGUAAAUUAUACUUUUAUCAUACUUUUGUGAUAUGUAAUGCAAUUCUGUCUCAAAAAUAAAGUCUAACAGUGUGUGUGUGUAUGCACCAAUAAUUUAGUACUUUUAAAAAUAUACAAGCUCAAUUAUAUAUAUAUUUUUUGUCAUUGAAUUAAGGAAUGUGCGGUUAUGAUGAUGUAGAACUCUUAGGGUUGAGUGGGUGUUGGUUAAAUAGUAUGAUCUAAUGAAUAAAAAUGAUCAAAAGAGUAGAUUUAACGGUAAACAAUUUACAAGCACCAAAUACUUGGUGUUUGUAAAUAUAAAAAGCACCGAGCACUUGAUGCUUGUAAAUUUUUUACCGUUAGAUCUAUUUUUUGAUCAUUUCCACCCAUUAGAUCAUAUUAUUCAAUCGAACGAGUAAAUAAAACAAAAAUAAAAUAAAAUAAAAUAAAAAAUAUUGUAUGUUGUGUAACCCGUUCAACUCUUCUAAAGCAUUUUUUAACCCCUUUUUUUAAUUUUUCGGAAAAAAAAAGUUGUUAAUUACCCCUAUGAAUUUUGUGUAAUUGGUGAGAGGAAUGCAUGCAUUUAUUUUUUCACAAAUAUUUUUUUUUCGUAGGCUCUCAUAAUUUUAAAAAUUAUUUAAUAUGUUAGAACCAAAUUAUUUCUUCGGCGGCAAAAAAUAAAUGUAUUUUUAUUUUUUAUUUACAAAAUUUUUUAAACAAAUUAUCAUUUUUUAUUAAGUCAGAAUGCACUGUAUUUAAACGGAAAAAAAACUAAGUGCAUCCAAACAGUCAGAUUUUUUAAAAUUUUUGCGCAUAAUAUUUUUAUUAUGGGUGAUUAUUUAUGAUGAACUCAUAUUAUUUAGAAUAUCUUUAUAUUAUUUUUUAAGUUGGGAAAGUGAUCUAAAAUUGUAUUGAAGUGUAGAUGGUCUCGGACAAAAAUUUUAUGGGCACAGUUCUCAAACAACUUGUUUGGGGACGAUGACGGUGGGCGCCGUGUGGUGUGCGGGUGUCCAUCACGACCCUAAAAAAUAAAAAUAAACAAAAUUUGUCGGCUCCCAUUGUUUAGAGAGAGAAAGAAGCAGGUGAGAGAAAGGGACGGUCGCGAUGGGCGCCCGCACACUACGCAACGCCCAUUUCACGAUCGCAUACCACGCGGCGCUCAUCUGCUCCGUCUCCAAACAAUUUGUUUGGGGACGGGUGCCCACAAAAUUUUUGUGCGGUGGCCUCACACCUUUAAUCAUUUAUCCUUUUGAUUUAUCAUGUUUUAUUAAAUUACGUAUCUAAAAUUUUUGUGCUCGAGGUGAUCGCAUACGAAACUCGUGUAAAUAAGGAGGCCCGCCUUUCACGUCAAUCGUACAACACCAAACACUGCUCAUAUCCGUAGGAAUCCAACACGUGUACAAUAAUUUGUGGUAGGUGUAACGGUGAAAAUGGUACGGAUAAUUUCGGAUUCAAUAUGAUGCUGAUCGAUGAUAAAAUUUAGUAUUCCACUCAUAUUUGUAUUUGAAUUCAUAUUCAAAAAAAAUAAGUUAAAUAUAAAUUAAAUAUAAUUUUUUAAAAAAUUCGAAUGCAAUCGACCAAUUCAUCCUCAGGAGAUAAAAGAAAUAUUAGUAUAUAUUAUAGAGAGAUAAAAUGAUUCUUUAUCUUUUUUUCUUCGUUUACUUUAUUAUGAGUUUUAUAUUAAAGUUGCAUUUAUAUUCGUCAAAUAUUAAAUUUUAUUAAAUAAAUAUAGGUAUACAAAGUUUGAACUUGAAUGUGAACCUUUAAAUGCAUUGUGCGUCUAAUCCGUACUAAUUUCAUUUCAUAUCGAUUUAUGCAUAUAAGUGUGUAUUAUUAUCUGAAUACAAAUUCGAGCCAUAUCUGAAUACGAAUAUGUUUUUAGUAGGCAUAGUAAUGAAAAUUUGACAUCCAACACAUAUCAGCAUCCGAAUUCGCAUCUAUAAAGUAUGGAUGUGAAUAUGGUUUUGUCAAAAAAUUUGACCGUAUUCAAUUGUUUUCAUCCCCAGGUGGGUGAUCCUUUACUUAUCAAUCUUUUAGUUUAUUAUAAACUUUAAUUUAAAAUUUAUUGAUUGUUGUAAUUAAGUUCUAUGGUAUAAUAUAAUUGGUUGAAUGAUAAUAUAUUAUUGAUGUGGCAAUGAUGCGACAUAUUAGUUAUUAUAUCAUUAUCACAUCAGCGGUACAUCACUAUCUAUCUAGCCAACUAAAUUAUAUUGUAUAAUUUAAUUACAGUGAUUUAUAAAAUUUAAAUUAGAAAUUGUAAUAAAUUAAAGUUUGAAAAUCAAAAUAUCACAUAUCGCUUAGUUUGCAAACGAAUAGUGUAAAUUUAGCGUUUACAUAAUUGGCACUCUUUUAUCUUAUAAUUUUUAACUAAAUUUGUAUGGUUAAUUAAUUUAAAUAUUUUAUUAAAUUUUGUAGCUCAAUUAUCUAUUGAACAUAAUUAAUCUCCUUUUACCCACUAUAAAGUAGUUUAUUAAGGUCUUGUUUGGCAGCAUUAAUUAUUAUUAUUUUUUGUAUAAAUAUAAUUCAUGCAUGAAAUAAUAAAGAAGAAGACAAUUGAUUGUUUGCCCUCAUUUCAUUCAAAAUAUUUGUUAACAAUAAAAAGUAAAAUUUUGAAGGCAAUUUUUCCUCUUAAAACUUUUUAAAUAAUAAGUUAUCAUUCAUCAUUUGAUCAAAAUGUAUUAGCAUGCUAACCAAUAACAACAACAAGUGAGAUUUUUUUUUUUUUUUUUCAGUUGAUAAUCAAAUUAUAUAUACUAACAAAAUAAAAAAUUACCUUAUAUUUUAUUAUAGCUAGAGUGAACAUCUUACACCCUAUUAUUCUUCUACUAGGAUAUGAAAAACUAUUUUUCGAAAUUUUGUACUUAAAAAAAUAAUAUGACAAGUAAAAAAAAUCUUAGCCUUUUUAAAGGCUAAGGUAAAAGUUUUACAAAUACUAUAGAUGUUCAUGUAGCAUUGCUCUUUAUAAUUAUAAAUGAAAUUGCUAAAGUUUCUAAUUUAUUAAAUAAAAAUUAUUGGGUCAAUUUCAUUUGUGUCCCUCUAAACUUCAAAAAUAUCAUAGAUGCCCCUAUAAAUUUGAUUACAUCACAAAUAGCCCUACAAAUACUUACUAUUUUUCAAAUAUGUCCUUAUCCUUACUAUUCAUCUUUUUAUAGAAUGAUAAAAUAUUUAGAUUAUUAUAAAUAUGGUCGAAAUGUCCAUUUUGUCCUUAACUUCUAAAAUUUUUUACAAAAAUAUUUAGCAUGAUAAUAUUUAUUUUAAAAUAUUAAAAUAAAGAGUAAUAUAUAUUAUUUUACCACUGUGUGGUUUGUAAAAUAAGAUACUUUACAUCAUUUAUUUUAAAAUUCUAGAUGCUAAAGCACAGAAAUUUGUGCUAGUUCAAAUAACUUAAUUUACAUCAUGCAUAUAUAUUUAAAUUAUAUUUUGAAUGAGCUGUUUAACCUUAUUUUAAUGAGUCAAUUGAUAUUUUAAAUAAUUUUUUGCUAAAUUUUUUUCAAAUUUUUUUAUUUUUUUAGCUUAACUUGUCAGGAUUAUAUAUAUAUAUAUAUAUAUAUAUAUNGUUAUUAAAAAAUUGAUAAUAAAUUAGUGUAAAGGUUAGUUUUGAAAGUUUCUCUCUUUUAAAAGAUUAUUUAUGAUAUUUUAAUUUUUAUAGGGGCAUUCAUGAUAUUAGAUUUAUUUGGAAGGGUAGUAAUGAAAUUUUUCCAAAAUUAUUUGGUUUUAAACAGAAGUCUAUACAAUUGGUGUAAAUCUUGCAGUAGUCUUGAGCUUUAAAUCUUGAGGUACUCUUGAGGUUUCUAUGUCUCACAUUUGCUUAUUUGUUUUAUCAAUUUAAUUUUAUAUUAAAAAUUUAAGAAAAAAUUUUAAAUGUUAAAAUGUAUAAAACUUAUUUCAACUAUCAUUUAUUUUGAUCUAACUAUCUUAUUUUAAAAAUUUUAAUUUUACUACAUAAACCCUUUAAUUAAUUUUUAUUUGGGCUUGUUGGUUAUUGUUUAACUUCAAAAUUUGAAUUCGCCGUUUAUCUUUAUGGAUUUAGUUAGUACAUUAUAUAUAAUUCAUAUAAUAAUAAAUUUAUUAAAGUAAAUUAUUAAUUUACAUUUUGUAUUCAAAAUAUUAUCAAAUUAAAUAAAUUAAAAAAAUAGAUAUUAAAAAUAAAAUUUUAAAAUAUUGGCUACUCAAAUUAAAAUAGUCUGUAGAGAGAGAGAGAGAGAGAGUUGAGCUGAAAUGUCAUUAAUAGCAAACGGGUUCGUUGCUACUCAUUUGUUUUCGAUGAUAGAGCCUCCAAAUCAAUGAUCGGCAUCGUUAAACAUGAUUUAUACCACCUGAAUCAUCUAGAAAUUAAAUUUUAUAUUUUUUCGAUAUUAUUUUCUUAUCCAUCAGGUUGACAAAAAAUAAACGGCUGAAAAUAAAUAUAUUUUAAAAAGUAAUAAUAAAAAUAUUUUAAUUGAGAUCAAGAGUAUAGAUCUUUGUUUUAAACAGCUUAAAGAAUUUUUUAACCAAAAUUCAAUUGAUUUGAAUAUCUUUACGCCGUUAAAUGAGAAAAUGUCUUAUAUUGACGAGUAAACUUACAAUUUUUGAUAUUAUUUGAUAAUUAGGUCAAUAAUGUCGAAAAAAUUUAAACUUUAGUUUUUAUAUGUUUCAAAUAGUAUAGAUUAUAUUCAACGGUGCCGAUCGUCAAUUUGGAAGCUCCAUCAUAAAAAAAUAAAUAGAUGACAAUAAAAUCCGUUUGCUACUGAUAACAUUUCAGCUCAACUUUCUGAUUCAAAAUCGUGGUAUAACAUGUAUCUCCCUUUGUUCCGGCCAUGGAAUAGAUGAAAUAAAUCAAAAAAUGGAUUCUUGUUCACAAUAAAAAAUAAACCCUAUCCCAUAGGUAUAGGGUUUGAUUCAAUAGAGAGCCUUUUCUUCUGUUAUAUAGUUGGUUCUCAUCCUUCAGAGAUUACGAGUGUAAUAGGAGCAUCUGUUGACAAAAGGAUCAUCCUAAGAUGAUCAUCUCAUGACUAUUGAGAACGAAUCAAAUCAGGUAGUUUUUUUUCUGUCCGAAAAAUUUAUCGAAAUAAUGAGUCGCCCCUUCCAUUGAUAUGAACAAAAUUGAGAUCAACAAAUGGUCGGGAGUAUUUUUAUAUAUAUAAAAUUUAGAAUUAUAAGUUAGUAAAAGAUGUGAACUUAAAAUAGAGUUAACGGCGGAGUUUUCAAAUUAGCCUGUGGUUGGAGAUAAAUUAAUUAGUGCAGUUAAGUAUGAAUGUGUGUCGGACACGUGGCAGCUUAAGAAGAGGAAUUUUGGACCCGCACGCCGAGGACCGGUGGGGCCCACCCCAGUGCGGGUAUACGUGGCCGUCCGAACGGUUUCGGUUGCUUGGGCAAGUUAAAAAAAAAAAAAAAAUCAAAUCCACUCGUGGUUCCACACUUUCUUACUUCAGUACUCUAUAAUUUAAAAUAUAUCAAAUUAGUAUUCUAUAAUUUUAUUUUUAUAUUUUCGUCAAUUUUUUUAUUAAUAUUUUGUUAAAUUAUAUACAAAAUUCUUCAGAUAUUCUAUUUAGGUUUACCGAAUAUUUACUUUAAUACCUUUUUUUAUUUUGAGAGAGAAAGGUAUCACGCUAUCUUCUUCAUUCAUUAAGAAAAUGAAAUUAGUUAUAUAAAGUAAGACAGCUAGGGCCUCAAGGAAGGGGGCUCGAUAAAAAUAAAAAUAAAAAUAAAAAUAAAGAUGAAAUUAAAAAUAAAAAUAAGAAAUAGCUUUCACCCUACUCUACAAGACUCGGCCCACUCUUUUGCAAACACUCUAAUAAUUCAGACGUCGCCCUGCUCUACAGGACUCGGCCCACUCUUUUGCCAACACUCCAAUAAGAUUAGCUGUUCGGGAAACGCCGCUGGGUAGAUUUCUGAAGAUGAUGUUAUUUUUAUCGCGCCAGACCAACCACCAAGUGGCCACAACCAAGGUCAGAGCCUUCGAAGCGUCGCACUGCGGGUGUCUCUCUAGUAGCCCCUCCCAGACGAUGUUGGUAUCUUCAAAACACGGGUAUCCGAGAUACUUUAAUAUCUUUUAGUUUUAACUUUGUCACUGAUGUAACGAAAAAAAUUAGUGGAAUCGAAUAAAAGAUAAAAAUAAAUCACAGAGCACUAAAUUGAUAUAUUUUAAACUAUAGGGUAAUAAAAUGAGAAAGUGUGAAACCACAAAAGUGGUAUUUGAAGUUUUUCCGAAAAAAAAGAUUGAGUGGGAAUUAUUGUACCAUUAUUAAGUGAAGUUAUCCGAUCAUUGCGAUGGGCUAAUACUAUAAGAGAAAAAAAAUUAAUAAAUUAAAAUCUUAAAAUUUUAAUUUAUUAUAAAAUAUUAAUAAAUAUAAAUUGUAGGAGAAAAAAAUAUAAAAAAAUUUUAUUUUAUUUGUUUUUUUAUAAAAAUGAUUUGUUUAGGCUAUAAUAAACUAUAUGAAGACAUUAAUUAAAAGAUGGGUAGGUGAGAAAAUAAAGUAUCGAACGGAGAUAAGGAUGGAAAGAUAAAUUAUCAAAAAGUGAGGAGAGGAGAAAAGAUAAGGAUGAAAAAAGAACUGUUAAAUGAUAAAUUUUAUAAAAAAUAAUAUAUAGAUAUGUGUAAAUAAUUCGUUUCUAAGUGUUAAUUUUUUUAAUUAUUUUUAAAAAUAAAGUUUUAAAAUUUUAGUAUUUAAAAAUAUUUAAUAAAAUUAUUAAAUGGAAAUAAAAUUAAUACUCAAUGGGCCCCGGAGCAAGACGUAAAUGAGCAGUCGUCAACGACGGCGUGGCAUCACCCGUUCACCACCACCAACCGCCUUAUCCGAGUCCGAUCGGACGGCGCACGAUGUUCGGACGCGGAUCGCCAACCCGCAAUGAUUAGCUCACGCCGUAAAAAAUAAUUAUUGUAGUAAUAUGUAUAUUUAUUUAUUAUAGCUAAAAAUGAAAAGGAGGUAAAAUUGUAGGUAAAAUGCUUUUUGGGUUCCUCCCACUUGUGGAUAAUGCUGUUAAUAUUAAUAAUAAAUAACUCUUUUUUUUUUGAUAUCGCUAAAAAAGAGGAAGAAAAAUUGGACCUGUACACUUUAUUCUGCAGUAUUAAUUAUUCUUCCAAAAAUUUAAAUUUAUUUAAAAAUAUCUUGCACCGAAAAAAAUUUAAGAAGAAACAUUCUGAUAUAGAAUUUGUAUUUUAUUGGCUCACCACCUAUUUUAGACGAUUAUUUGUUUAAAAGGAAUUAAUUUUCGAUUUCCAUUUCACUCUGGAAUGGAAAUGAGCAAAUUCAUUUAUGGCCAAAUCCAGUUUUGAAUUUCGGAUUUGCCCAUUUCAAUGUAAACUGCUCAAAAUUUUUUCUUACAUUUCACCUCCGCCUCCUCUCCUUUUACCACUCUCUUUUUUCUUAAUCAAAACUCUCUUUAAAAAAUAUUGGAUUCUUAUUCCGAUUUUCAUUCUAAUAAUGAAUCAGAUAUUUUUGAUGAUUCGUCAUUCUAUUUAUUAUUUCAAAGCAUUUAAAUUUUAUUUAUCAUUUCUAUUCUAAUCAUGAAUCAAACAUGCUCAUACGUAGGCAUAAAAUGAACCAAACAUGUUCUAUACGUACGUCUAAAACUAGUAUUACUCAAACUUGAGCAAUGUUAUUUGUAUUUACACCCCACCAAUUUAAAGGUCGAUAAUUUUUUACUAAUUUUAUUAAUUAUUUUUUUUUUUACUUCAAUACUAAUAGUUUUAUAAAUCUUCGACAAUUUUAAAAUUAUUUUAAACACAAAAAUAAUGCAUUUAGCCAUCGUAUUAUCAAUAUAAUUUUGAAAAAUGCUAUCUACAUCCUUAUUUAUAGGUAUAAAUCUUACAAUUCUUGUAUCUCAGGCUUCAUAAAAAUUCAAAUUGGUUUUAAUAAUAAUAAUAAUAAUAAUAAUAAUAAUAAUAAGAUAAGUAGGGAGUGAGAGUCCCAAUUUUUUACUCCUACUUAAUUCGAGAUUAAGAUGUAGUAAUACACCUGAAAGUGCACAAAAAGCAUUUACGUAAAGAUAUGUUCACAUUAGACUAAAAAAAAAUCUCUCAGUAACAUACAUGAGUCCUUCAAAAUUUGUUAUUUGCAUAGUGGUUUCUUAAAUCACAAUAAUAAUUUGUGCUCGCUAGUUCUUUCAUAAAGUUUUUGUAAUUUAACUGGAUUACAUAUUUUUUUAGCACUAAUUACCACUAUAAUUUUAUAGUAGAAAAAUAGAAUAAAAGGUGCUUUUGUAAACUAAGGCUUAAUAAGUUAGUAGAAAAAAAAAUCAGUAGAAAAUAUCAAGCAAUUUAGUCCCUUUUUAAUGUUGGCUUCUUUUAAUUAGUAAUACAAUUAUUAUCUCCAAAUGUAUAAGAAUCAAUUAGAAAGUUUUAAAAGGUAUAAAUAUACUAAUUAACAAUUGGCAUUAUAAAGUAUAAACUAACAUUGUUAAGGUGUAUAUCCAAAAUAUUCUUCUUAAAUACUACUAAAAAUAAUGAUCUGACCAAAUUGCGAUAUACAGGUGUGUCAGGGACUGAUGAUAUUUUUUACCCAAUGAUUAAGAUAGACAUCGUAAAAUCCUCGAGGGUGGACCUUUCAACGGGGUUUGGGUUGGGGGGCGGGGGCUGAUCACUGCUUAUUAAAUCCUCUCUCCCUCGCCUCCUUUCCCCGUCUCUCUUCAUUCUCUCCCUCUUUCUGCUUUGGACUUUGGAGUCGACAAGCCAUGGCGGAAUCGAUGGAGCUCCCGAGUCGACUCGCGAUCCUCCCCUUCAGGAACAAGGUCCUCCUCCCCGGCGCCAUCGUCCGGAUCCGGUGCACCUCCCCGAGCAGGUGUGGAUUCCUCGAUCCCUUUCGAUCGAAUUCGACCCCUCCCCUUUAAUCCUCGGCUCGCAGAACCUAGGGUUCUGGACGAAUUUCGCUUUGAUUGAGCUUCGAUUCUUGAGAUUGGGCUUGUUUUUGGCAAAGAAUUGGUCUUUUUUUUUCUUUUUGUGGGUUUCUUCGAGGGUGAUGGUGAGGUUUUGCGGGUUUUUCUGGGCUUUAAUUUGGCUUUCUUAGGUAGUUUUGAUCAAGUGGGAUGAUUUGGGAUGCUUUGGUGUGCUGUGCUUGUUGAUUUUUUGUUUUUGUUUUGAGCUUUGUCUAUACGCAAAUUUUCGAAAUUAAAAUAGAAUUUGGGUGCAGUGUGAAGUUGGUGGAGCAAGAACUAUGGCAAAGAGAAGAGAAGGGUUUGAUUGGGGUGCUCCCGGUGAGGGACUCGGAAGCUGCUGCAGUGGGUUCCUUGUUGGCUCCAGGUAAUUGGAGAGCUAGGGUUUACGGUGAUUUGGGUAGAGAAUACGUGAUUUCGAAGGGAAAAUUGAGGGAAUUGGUGCUUUUCUUGUAGGUAUGGGAAGUGAUUCUGGGGAAAGAGGUCUUAAAGUGCCGUCCGAGGUUGUGGGGGACUCACAGAAGCAGGAUACGAAGAACCAGCAGGAACUCAUCCAAUGGCACAACAGGUGCAUUUUCUCAAUUCGUGUUCUUGUUUCAAUUCCUGUGGUUAUUGCAUCAAAUUUUUGUGUGAAACUGAAAGAAGAAGCUAUUUGAAGAAACGGCUCCAUUGAAGUGGUAGUUAGAGAGAGUGGAAUUCAGAGAGGUUUUUCAUUUCACGUCUUUUACCUAGAUAUAUUAUAAACUGGUCGGAAUGGAAAGAAAUUUCAAGACAUAUAUCGAGCAUGAUUUCACUAGAUAACUCUUGUGUGGAGUAAUCUUUCCAUAACAUCACUUCGGGAGACUAUAUCUAGCUCAAGUAUCUUACUUUCAGGGGAGUUGCUGCUAGAGCUUUGCACCUCUCAAGAGGAGUGGAAAAACCAAGUGGAAGGGUCACAUAUAUAGUUGUUCUCGAGGGCUUGUGUAGGUUUAACGUUCAAGAACUCAGUGCUAGAGGGACAUAUCACGUCGCCCGCAUUUCACGUCUUGACAUGACAAAAGCUGGUAAGAUUUUGUUUGCUUUAUUAUCUGCUAGUUUUUUUUUGGUUUCUCCAAUCUCUACUUGUACUGCGUUCUUAUGAUUUUUUUUUUUUUCUCAACAGAGAUAACUCUUCCUUAUGUUUUGAUUCUUUUAAAUUGUAUUCAUUGGUCGUGGGUGUAUCUUAGUUGAUUGCUGCCCACCGGCCAACUGGGGUCACAUAUAGGUCGACUACACCUGACUAUGAAAGGCAGAAAAAGUCUCUGUUGAAACUAGUUGACUAACUGAUUGACCAGACUAUUGGACUGUUCGUCCAACGUUGCAGUGUAUGGCGGCCUAGGUGAAGGGUUGUUUGGAUCUACAACACCCUGACCAAGCCAAUGAAGUAUAGCACUCGACUCAGCUUGCUAAAAAUUAUGCCUUAGCCUCUAAUAUUGAAUCAAGCCGACAAUCUUUGCAAUGUAGUCAUUUUUAUUUUUCUUCUUUUGCUUGUUUUGUCCUAGCAUUGGCAAGGUGGUUAUGUAAAUUUUAAUGUUGUUAUUUUUUUUGGAUAAAAAAAAUACUUGCACAAAAAUGAGAAGGAUACUAUUUGUUGAAUCUUGAUCUUUUUUGGCUGUUAGAGGCUUAUAAUUUAAUAAACUUUAUUCAACAAAUAUGAUGUGUCAAUGGAGCCAUCUGAUGUCGCCAUGUAUGUUGGAAGUUGUGUAUGCUUUACUGAGGAAAGUCCAAAAUUUUAUUCUUCUGAUUUACUUUUAUACAACUAAGUCCUUUGCUAUUCGUAUAGCUUUGCAGCUGAAAACCUUAAUGAGAAAAUCAUAUAGAAACUUUUGGUCUAUCAUCAAUCUGCAAAUGAUGUCAUGAUAUCCUCUUAACUACAUGCUUUGUACUUCUCAUUUAAUCAAGCUGAGUACUCAAAUUACCUCAAUGCUGUUGUAAUUUGUCAGAGUUGGAGCAAGCAGAGCAAGAUCCAGAUCUUAUUUUGCUAUCUCGCCAAUUCAAAGCUACUGCCAUGGAGCUAAUUUCUGUCCUUGAGCAGGUAAAAUAUUGAUAGAAUUUCAGUGAGUCCCAUUCGACAUUGCUGUUGUUUAUUCCAGACAUUGUGAUGCUAAAUAGUCGGUCCUGCAAUAAAACAAUUAGGAAGAAGACGCGGCAGGAAAGAAUGUAUUAUUGUUGGAAAUAUUGUGUACUGUUUAGUUACCUAGCUGAAGUAUUGGGUUUUCUAAUGUUUGAGAAGAUCUCGAAAUUUCAAGCAUUGCUUAUAUCUGUACUUUCUUUUUUAUGGUCUCCAUAUGUAUUAUGAGUCAUGCUCCUGCUUUUGCUUCUGUUUCUUAUGUUGACACAUCGCUUUUUUAUGUGUAAUUAAUUAAUCAGUUAUAUAUAUUCCAUUGCCUAUCCAAGUAAGUUUGAUAGUCUGUAGAAGUAUUUGACAUAAAAUGAGUUGCUUCAUGUUUCUAAUUGCAGAAGCAAAAAACUGUUGGUAGGACAAAGGUUCUCCUUGAGACAGUUCCUGUGCACAGGCUAGCUGAUAUAUUUGUUGCUAGCUUUGAAAUAAGCUUUGAGGAACAGCUAUCCAUGUUAGAUUCAGUUGACCUGAAAGUUAGGCUUUCAAAGGCAACGGAACUCGUAGACAGGCACUUACAGGUAAAAAUGUUCUCAAAUGGCCUUAUUUAGUAGUUAUCGUUUAUUUCCAACCUGUCCUGAUCUUACUGUGAUGUUAUGUACUUGUUGCACUCUUUCGGUGUUGAGCAGUCAAUUCGUGUAGCUGAGAAAAUAACUCAAAAGGUCGAGGGGCAGUUAUCAAAAUCACAGAAAGAAUUUCUUCUGCGUCAGCAGGUUCGUCCUCCCACUUGUGUCAUUCUUGCAUUAUGUACUGAGCCUAGGAACAUUGCAACAGUGAAUAGGAAAGAUCUGUCUCAUUGUACAUGAUAUGAUAAGAUUUUUUUUUUUUUUUCAUGCCUUUUCAAUUCUGUUAAUCAUGCAUAGGAAUAUAUGCAGCAAUGCCUUUUCUUGCCUCUUGACAGAUAGUUUAUUAAAUUUGACUACUAGAUCCUCUUAUUUCAAACUGCUAACACACAUUUCCAAGAUUAUGCAAAGUUUGACUAAAUUAAGCGAGAAAAGACUUGAGUUUGAUUCUACUUGCUCACGUUUACUCUGCAGAUGAGGGCUAUUAAGGAGGAACUUGGUGACAAUGAUGAUGAUGAGGAUGAUGUAGCUGCUUUGGAAAGAAAGAUGCAGAGUGCAGGGAUGCCUCCUAAUAUUUGGAAACAUGCUCAAAGGGAAUUGAGGUAACUUUCAUUCUGUAAUUUACAAAACCACUUGUCAUGACAAGAACAAAAUAUAUUCUUGGACUAUGUAUUAAUCAGUUUCUAUCAACAGACGAUUAAAAAAAAUGCAGCCUCAGCAGCCUGGGUAUAGUAGUUCCCGUGUGUACCUGGAACUUCUGGCCGAUCUCCCUUGGCAGAAGGUGAGUGAAGAACCUGAACUCGACCUAAGGGCUGCCAAGGAGAGCCUUGACCGUGAUCAUUAUGGAUUAACCAAAGUCAAGCAACGGAUUAUCGAAUAUUUGGCUGUUCGCAAGGUUGUCUUUUAACUCAUCUGUGGCAUCUCUGCACGUCCUUUAAAGUUACUACAUUUACUAUUUUGACUGAAAUAGGCCAAUCAAAUUGCAGCUUAAACCUGAUGCCAGAGGCCCAGUUCUUUGUUUUGUUGGCCCGCCAGGUGUUGGGAAGACAUCGUUGGCUUCGUCAAUAGCAGCUGCUUUAAAUAGAAAGUUCAUAAGGAUUUCUCUUGGUGGUGUGAAGGACGAGGCUGAUAUUAGGGGCCAUCGAAGGACCUAUAUUGGAAGCAUGCCAGGACGGCUUAUUGAUGGGUUGAAGGUCUCUUAUUGCAUGAUAUCUUUUUUGUUCUGGUGUUUUUCUAGCUUCCAUAUAACUCAUAGUUUAUAUUAUAGCAUGCCAGGACGGCUUAUUGAUGGGUUGAAGGUCUCUUAUUGCAUGAUAUCUUUUUUGUUCUGGUGUUUUUCUAGCUUCCCUAUAACUCAUAGUUUAUAUUAUAUUGCUUGCUUGAGAGUACUUUUUUGCUAUCUAUUGUUACUUGACCUUUCAAUAGAAAGCUAUCUUUAGAUCUCUUAUGAGAUGUCUCAAAUUGUUUGGUUCUUUUUCCAACUAAUGUUAUGCUAUAUUUUGCCUCCAAUUGCUUGACCAAAUAUUUGCUCUCUAGUAGGUUACAAACCUAAAAUUACCGAUACAUGAGAAUAUCCUAUCCACGGAAUAUGCAUCUAAAGCUUUUAAAUAUAAGCCUUUUGGUGCUUGGAAAGUCCCACCACAUUUUAGUUUUUGGGCUCAAUUUGCAGUAAUGCAGGUUGCUUUAUUGGACACUAUUUUUCUUAUUGAAAGAUGAAUUGGAAAAUUUAAUUUUUUCCAGAGCAAGAAUAUCGGGCCUCUUAAAGUCAUUGGAUUAAGAAACUGGUGGUAGUAUAAUGGUUAAGCACAUGGCUUAGCCUUUCAAUUGGAUAGUGACUAAAUCAAUGUUUGGACCCUCAUAAGAACUCUUUUCUGCCUUUGCUGCCUCUUUUGCUGCUUCUGAAACUGUCAAAUCACCUUGAAAGAGUUCUUGGCAUAGAGUUAGCAUCAUCUACUAGGAUUACUGUCAUGACGAUUUAAAUUCUACCAAAAAGACAUGUCUCAAGUAUAAAUGGGUGCUGAAAUUUUUAAACUUGGAUCCACUAUUCACGUCUUUUGUACUUGUAAAUGCAGAGGGUGGGUGUUGGCAAUCCUGUCAUGCUUCUUGAUGAAGUUGAUAAGACAGGUUCUGAUGUUCGUGGGGAUCCAGCAUCAGCACUAUUGGAAGUUCUUGACCCAGAGCAGAAUAAUACAUUCAAUGACCAGUAUCCUUUUCUUUUACUGAUAAAACGUUCUCAUUUAAGUGCUGGCUACUUUAAAUUUGUUCUUUCAGUUAUUGAUUAUUGAGCUUACAAUUACCUCCUGUUAUUUUGGCAACAUUUAUUCAUGUUUUUCCAUAUACUUAAGACUGUUUGUUUGUUGAGACAGUCAGCCUGGAGUACUUCAGUAUUGUGGGCUUAUGUCCCGAACCCUGUGGCCUCAUUUGAGCAAGCCUCCAUGUCUACCCCCUCUUCAAACAGGGUGAAUCCCUGUUUAAUCAAAAAAAUAUUGUGGAUUUAAAUAUUUGAAUAGAAAGUCACUGUGUACUUGCAUCUGCCUUUUGUAUAUUGAUAUUUUCCUCAAGUCUUUAGAAUCGACAUAUCAAUUCUUUCAGCUUCUGUUAUAAAGCAAACCUUACAUUAUGUAAAUGCAAUCAGAAAUAAGAUACCAUUAGUAUUAAAUUCUUUAAUCUUUUUGAGUACAAAUAAUUAAGUGGUAAGAAUAGAAGCAGUUUAAAAAAUGAUAAAUUGAUAGGGAGAUAAGUCAUUCACUAUCAGAUUUCAGAGGGAAUACUGAGGGUUGAGUGUAUAGAUGAUGAUGUGACAGGUAAGGGAGCUCUUCACUUGCUGCGAGAGGGGAAUAGGUAUUAGGGAGUAGAUUGGUUGUGAUAUAACACGGACCACAUUCUUAUGCCUUUGGAGGGUGGAGGAUCAAGAUAUGAGAUUUAAUUAUUGUUGUUUCGGGAGUAUUAGUAGGAGUGUUGUUGAGCAAGAGGGUGAUGAGAUUAGCUGAAGCAGUGCAAAUCAAAUAGGGUAUGUGUCGAAGGAGAGCAAUUUCCAUACACAUUUCCACCUUCAUGAGUUUAGCCGUCAGUUGGCUAUCUGCUAUAAUCCUAUAAUUUUGAAAAGAGAAACCUAAUUUUCAUGUUAUAGGAGCCUUUAUCCAGAGAUUUCUUUCGGAAAAUGUAAUUAGUGUGAAAGAUUAUGGUGCGAAGUACGUUAAAUCAAAGUUCUUUCCGGACAAGGUUAAAAAAUCUUUACAUUUAGUAACCUGUAAUAUGUAGUCUUUUGUCAUCAUGACAGUUUUAAUCAUAUAACUAGCUGAACUCUUGAUUCGCCAUGUUCCUUAACUUGUGAUACAGCUAUUUGAAUGUUCCAUUUGACUUGUCGAAGGUGAUAUUUGUUGCAAUGGCAAACAGGGUGCAACCUAUUCCACCACCCCUUUUGGAUCGGAUGGAAGUCAUUGAGCUUCCUGGUUAUACACCUGAAGAGAAGCUAAAAAUGGCAAUGAAACAUCUUAUACCAAGAGUCCUAGAUCAACAUGGUUUGAGCUCUGAAUUUCUUCAGAUUCCUGAGGUAUGUUCCGAUACACCUUUGCAGAUUUUCUCCUCUUGAGUUGCAGCUGAUAUUUGCUUUCGAUUUCUCUAAUCUUUUUCUAUGCUGUCAUCCUGUCUAUCAGUGAAAUUGCUCCUAAAAUUUCUAGGCUAGUUUGAUAAAACAUCUAAUAGCAAUAUGUUAGUUAAAAGUACACAGGUCUCUAAUGACGAGUGGUGAUUAUUCCCUUCCUUUUCAUUCUAUGAUAAGGAUUUUCCAAAGGUGAGAAUUGUCUUGUGGCUCAAUUGGAACAUCAAAAGAUCAAAAACUGUGAAGUCUGGAAGUUACAAAUCAUCAUUAUGACAAAGUUUCAAUAUCUUCCCUGAAUGAGGACUUGAAACUUUAAACUGGACUGCCUUGUUUUCUUGGUUGGUUGUUUAUAUGGCUUAUAAAGGGCAAAGAAGUGCGUGAUCCUUGGUAUUUGGGUAAGCAGACAUCACAUAUUCGCCCUUGCGUUUGUCACAUUUGUCUAAUACCAUAGAAAACUGAGGAAUGUUGUCGAGUCUUGUUGAGCCACUUAAAACUUGGAUCAGGAUAAUGAUACUACUUUCAUUGUUUGUUGUUAGGUUGUCAGCUGUCUAUAUAUGAACUUGUAUUUCUCUCUAGAGCCUUGGUGAAUUUGAGUUGUCUUCUUUCUGGCCCUAAAUAGGGAAAGGGCCAUAAUGCUUAUCUAUUGACACUUUAAGUAAUUUAUUCUUUCCAUCCAAACAAUAAUAUUCUCACUAUCAUCGUUUACAAUUAGCAUGACCACAAUUUGUUCUAACUGUAUCUUUAUAUAGGCCAUGGUAAAACUCAUUAUCCAAAGAUACACUCGAGAAGCUGGUGUGCGUAACCUUGAGAGGAACUUGGCUGCUCUGGCCCGUUCAGCUGCUGUCAAGUUUGCAGAGCAAGAGAGUGCAGUUCAAGUUGGCAAAGACGUACAACCAAUGACAACGUCCCUUCUUGACACCAGGCUUGCAGAUGGUGCUGAAGUUGAGAUGGAAGUUAUUCCUAUGGGCGUCAACAGCCAGGAGAUAUCAAAUUCUUUUGAAAGUGCCUCACCUAUUAUCGUAGAUGAAGCUAUGCUGGAAAAAGUGCUUGGGGUAUUCGCUUGUAUUUCACUUUUCAAGCUCAAAACACUUUCCUCUCGGCUGUUUAAUUUGCAUUUUGUUAAUCAAAUAUUUCAAUGUUAAUUGUUUAUUUGCGAUAUUGCAGCCUCCUAGGUUUGACGACAGAGAAACUGCAGAACGAGUGGCAACUCCUGGAGUAUCAGUUGGACUAGUCUGGACUUCCUUUGGUGGGGAGGUUCAGUUUGUCGAAGCCACAGCAAUGGUGGGAAAGGGUGACUUGCAUUUGACUGGACAGCUUGGUGAUGUUAUCAAAGAAUCUGCACAAAUAGCUCUCACAUGGGUAUGUCUCUUUGCACACUUAUUUGGUUUAUCUUGCAGGUAAAUGAUCAAGUUCUCAUUAUGUUCCAACCUGUCUCCUCUAGUCCCUACUAAAUUGGUUUUGCUUGUUUGGGCUUUCCCAUUUAGUUGGUUGGAGGUCAAUCUUAGCUGUCCCUCUAUGCACAACUCUGUUAGAAGGGGUUAGUUCCUUUUGGAGAAAAUAAUAGGCUGCUUAGUUUGUUCGUUUAGGCAUGUUACACUUAGUUGUAUAAUCUUUCAACUUUAGAUGGAAUGUAUAUUCAGAAUAUAGUUGCAAGCAUAUCCAAAAAUUUAAAUGUGCAGUAGUGAGAUAAUUGGAUAUCUGUUGUUGUUCAUAACUUUAUUUUAUUAUUAUUAUUAUUAUUAUUAUUAUUAUUUGUUUCCUCAGGUAAGAGCAAAAGCAGCAGAGCUGAAUUUGUCAGCUUCUUCGGGGAUUAAUUUAUUGGAGAGUCGUGACGUUCAUAUUCAUUUUCCUGCUGGUGCCGUGCCAAAGGAUGGACCAUCGGCAGGAGUUACUUUGGUGACAUCGCUUGUUUCACUAUUCAGUCAGAGGAAAGUUAGAGCAGACACUGCAAUGACCGGAGAAAUGACUCUGAGGGGCCUUGUAUUACUAGUUGGUGGCAUCAAGGAUAAGGUAGGUUUUUUUGCAUGGUAUACUAUGUUGUGGAAAUAAUGCGAGAGAUACUCCAUUAGGAAUACGUUCCUUGUAAAUUAUGUAUCUUUUAAUUUAUUUAUACUUUAAUUUGCUCCUUCAGGUAUUGGCAGCUCAUCGUUAUGGCAUCAAGAGAGUAAUCUUGCCGGAACGGAAUUUGAAGGACCUAACUGAAGUCCCAUCGGCCAUUCUAUCUGGCAUGGAGGUAUUUUUUCUGCUUUUUUGCUUGGAACUUUUUUAAUGUAGAUUCUCUUGUAAUUAUUUUAAUAACGUUUGAAGAAUUUGAUAAUAGAUGACAGCACUUACUGUACUCACCGACUGAUCAUCAUCUUGUCAAAAUGCUCACUAAUUUGACGAACCAGUUCUGGAUCUGAGCACUGAGAAAAUUUGAAUAUUGAUGAUCUAAUGAAACUAUUAUCUCUCAUAACAGUCAUAACUAAGAAUCAUAUCUUCUGUUUGAAUAUACAGUCGUUGAAUUAUCGAAGUGCUUUUUCUGUUUGAGUUAAUAGAUACUGGCUCCUCGAGUUAAAAAUAUUUUUUCUUGGAGUAAUUUGUUUGAUAAAAGCAUCAAAUUCCUGAAAUAGAUGGUUUAGGUAUGUGGUGAAAGAUUGUAUGCUAACUGGCUAGUUUGGAGAUAUCUUCCAACCUAGCUAAAAUCUUCAAAUAUCUGUUAAAAUCUGCAUUUAUUGUAAUUUAUUGGUACAUCAAAAUCAAGUGAAGCCCUUACAGCAAACGGCUAGAAUAUUUAAUGAUGAUUGAUCCCUAGUCCUGUGGUUUUUCUUUUCUGGUUAGAUUUCUUGUUAGAUCUUCUGUACUUGUAAUAUUACGUCUUACACUUUGAGAUUGUACGAUUUCUUAUCCACUUUGAGAUGAUAGUUUCUCUUAUGGUGUCCAAAAACACAUUAAACUACUGCCGAUGCGCUAAAGAAAUUAGUUAAAAUUUAAUGAGAACCAUUGAACCAAAAAAAUAUCAUGUUUAAUCUCCUGCUUGAAUGAUCUUUCCAUAUAUUCCUGCUUAGUUUCUGACUACCAGUUAUCUUAACUCUUCUGUGGUUCCUAUUUUUAACAGAUUUUGCUUGUGAAGCGUAUUGAGGAAGUACUGGAACACGCAUUUGAAGGUGGAUGCCCCUGGAGGAAACAUGCUAAGUUAUAGCAUUCUCCAGUGUUCUCCAAUCGUGGAGUAAAUAUCGAUGGAAUUGCCGUUUUCGACCAGAUUUAGGGCAACCUGAUUGACAAUAGCAGAUGCGAUCGUAUCAGCACGCAUCCAAUAUGCGGAACCGAGCCAUUGGAUAAGAUAUCUACUGGAAAUAUAAAAUACGGGCUCAGUAUUAGCCAGUGUAAUGUCUUCGAAAGAUUGACCUGAAUGAGUUAUAUAAUCCCCGCUUUAGAGCAUUAGCCGUUUCUAGCCGAUCCUAUAAUUAUAUUUGGGAUCAAAGGCUUAGUUAUCGUUGUUAUUGCUGCCGCUGCGGCCACAGAGCAUGUGGCUAUCGUUGUGCUACGAACUCCCGAUUUGGCUCAGCAAUUUGUGUAAGGCUAGUCUCUCUGAUUCUGUAUUAUGUAUAAUUUCAAACUGGAAGCGAAAGUCUCUCCUAUUUAACAUAAAUUGUCUCAAAAACAUUGAUGUGUAUGCCACUGAGGGAUAGGAGCGUUAGUCUCAAACAAAUGAGGCUAACUUUGCCUUGCUCUGUUUCAAUCUUCUCCCUUGGUGGUGGUUGUGUGUAUUCAUAUUUCUUAUUCUUUUCCUUUUUAUGUUCGGAUUCUCUCUCGCUUUCCUUCCUAAAAAAUUUGGCUUCUCUCUUACGAGUUUGGAAUCAAGUUUGUAGUUUAGCGGUGGUUUCCACUGCCACUUUGUAGAAUCAAAGGGGGGGAAUUUAAAUGGUUGUUUGAAUUUUCUUGGAUCCUUCAAAGCAUCCAGGGUCGCGAAACGGGUCGAAAGGGAGAUUUUUGUUAGUCACUAGAGAUGUCAACGGGUCGGAUUCGGGUGAAUUUUUAAAAACCCGAAUCCGAACCCAACUCCAAACCCGAGACCCGAAUCCGAACCCGACGGAUUUUAAAAAUCCAUAUCCAAACCCGAACCCGACCAAAAAUCCGAAACCCGAAGCCGAAUUCGAAAAUUUGAAUCCGAAACAAUUAUUUUUUUUUUCAAUAUUUCAAAAUAAAUUAUAUUAAAUCUAAAUUUUUAAAAUACAAAUUUAAAUAUAACAUCAAAUUUUUAUAUAUAUAUUAUAUAUAAUACAAAAUAAAUUUGGGUUCGGGUCGGGUUUGGGUCGGGUACAAUCAAAAUUCAUAUCCGAAUCCAUAUCCGUCAGGUUUCUAUUUUAAAUAUCCAUAUUCGAAUCCAUAUCCAUCGAAUAUAUCCGUUUCAUUCGGGUUCGGGCUCGGAUAAAAUUUCGGGUAUCCAUACCCAUUGACAUCCCUAGUCACGCUUAGCAGCAAAACCGAGGUAAGCUCAGUGAGCUAAAGUAAGUUCGAUUUUAACUCAAAAUUGUAGAUAUAAAAUGGUUUAGUUCAUAAGAAUUAUAGAUACCGAAAAUUAAUGAUUUAUAUUAUAUAUAAUUUGUAAAUUUUUCAGAUAUCAUGAAACAUGUUUAAUCAAUUAAAUUUUAAUUAUUAUUAGAUCUCUAUGCUAGAAUUUUCACAAUGGACAGAACUUUGAAUAGUCGAGACCAGGAGUGCACUAGGUUCAUGCAACAAUUUCGGAGUUGGAAUCUUAUAAUCCACUAUUGUAAGGUUUUGGCUGUUUAGCCAACCAAAAUGAUAAAAUUAAUGUGAAAAAAAUAGUCCCGAUAAAAUUAGAGGAUUGCAAAUCAAAACGAAUUGCCAUAGGAUGGCAAACAAUAUAAAGAAUACCUCUACAAAAUUAUGAAAUUUGGUUUCUAAAUAAUUCCAAUAGCAUAAAUCAUGUCUAACGGAGUCGAUCGCAGGAUCGGAUGCUCUAUUAUCGAAAACAACUUACAAGCACGGAUGCUUCCGUAUUUUCGAAAGCAUAAGAGCCUAGCUCUCUCUCUCUCUCUCUCUCUCUCUCUAUAUAUAUAUAUAGGGAAAAUUUCAUAGGUACUCCUAUAGGAGACUGAAAUUUCAUUAAUAACCUUCUAAAAUUGAAAAAAUCACGAAUGACCUUCUCAAUUCAAAAAUACUCAUGAAUGCCCUUACAGGUAAAGUGUCGUUAAAAUCUAACCGAACAGAUUAUAAAUGACAUUUCUAUUCCUGUACGGUUCAUUAAGUAUAGGAAGCCGUAAUGGUAUAUUAGCACUAUUCACAAAUGCCCUCUUAUUCUCUCCACAUAGCAAUGAGCCCACUAAGUUGUCGAUAUUUUACAACACCUCAUAACACAACUCCUAAUUGUGAUUGUCGUAAACCAUGCCGAAUUUAGAUGUCAAAACAACCACACAAUAAAGGUCGAUGAUUUUAUUGAUGUCCAAAUUGGAGGGUAAGUUGAUGUGAUACAUUAGUGUGCAUAUAAAGGCUAAGUUACAUAAAACCUUCAUGUCAAAAUUCGAUUUUUCACUUUCCUCCUCUGUCAUUUGAAAACCUACACUUUGCCCUCUUGUAAAAUGAAAAUUGUUCACUUCGCCUCUUGCCGUUAGUAAUCUGUUAGAGUUCCGUUUAUAAAAUAUUAUUAUAUAUUUUUUUAUGCCAAAAAUGCCAUCAACCUUCUCUCCUGUGAACAUGAUGAGAGGCAAAAUAGUGAAGGGCAAAAUGGUUAUUUUAUCAUCACAGUUCACACCGUACUCCUGUGAACAUUUUUUAUUUUAUAAGAAGGCAAAAUGUAGGUUUUUAAAUGAUAAGAGGGAAAGUGAAAAAUUAGAUUUUGAUAGGGGAGUUUUCUGUAAUUUAGCCUUAAUUAAAUUUCAAAUAUAUAAUGCUGUAUAUUUUCUAUAGAUUUAGGAAUAAAGAUAAUGCAACUUUGGGUAUUUACUUUUCAAUGCAGCACAGUUAACCUUGAGUACCAAAUACAUAUGCUGAAAAUAAUAUAGGCCGAAGAAUUAUGAAAUUGGAGGAGAAAAUCCUCCUGUGUACUUUAUAUACUAGUUUUUAAAUUUUUUUAUCUUAGCAUUAAUUAGUUAUUUCCCGCCAAAUAUAUCAUUCUAACUUUUGGGGAAAAACUUAUCAUUCUAUAUUUUAACUUUCAUUUAACUACAUUUUAAUUCAGGUAGAGCGACGUAUCCUUAACAGCAAGGAUAGUUAUGAUAAUUUUAUAUGUUUGAAGAGGUGUUUAUUAUAUUUGAAAGUUUAGAGGAGUAUUCAUGAAAUUUACAAGUUUGAUAAGCUUACUAAUGAAAUUGCCCUUUUCUUUAUAUCAAUAAUUAAUUAUAUCAAUAAUUGCAUAUAAUUUAGGGUAAACUUCAAAUACUAAUCCUGUGGUUUCGUACUUUUUUACUUUAAUAUCAUGUAGUUUAAAAAGUUUCACUUUAGUACCCUAUGAUUUUAUUUUUCUCUUUCCACCAGCAUCUCCCUUAACUCUCCAUUAAAUUAUAUACAGAAAAAUUUCAGAUACCCCGCCCUAUGAUUUAUUGAAUAUUCACUUUAGUAUCCUGUGGUUUACCGAAUUUUUACUUUAGUACUCUAUGGUUUUAAUUUUAUCACUGAUAUAAUAGAAAAUUAAUGGAGAGGAUAACAGAAAGAGAAAUUUAUUAAAUUUAUUAAAAUUAAUAAUGAAAUAAUAUAAAAGCUCAAAUAAAAAAAUAGAGGUUAAAGGGNAUUCAUUUUCCUGCUGGUGCCGUGCCAAAGGAUGGACCAUCGGCAGGAGUUACUUUGGUGACAUCGCUUGUUUCACUAUUCAGUCAAAGGAAAGUUAGAGCAGACACUGCAAUGACCGGAGAAAUGACUCUGAGGGGCCUUGUAUUACCAGUUGGUGGCAUCAAGGAUAAGGUAGGUUUUUUUGACCGGUAUACUAUGUUGUGGAAAUAAUGCGAGAGAUACUUCAUUAGGAAUACGUCCCUUGUAAUUAUGUAUCUUUUAAUUUAUACUUUUAAUUUGCUCCUAAAGGUAUUGGCAGCUCAUCGUUAUGGCAUCAAGAGAGUAAUCUUGCCGGAACGGAAUUUGAAGGACCUAACUGAAGUCCCAUCGGCCAUUCUAUCUGGCAUGGAGGUAUUUUUUUCUGCUUUUUUGCUCGGAACUUUUUUAAUGUAGAUUCUUUUGUAAUUAUUUUAAUAACGUUUGAAGAAUUUGAUAAUAGAUGACAACACUUACUAUACUCACUGACUGAUCAUCAUCUUGUCAAAAUGCUCACUAGUUUGACGAAACAGUUCUGGAUCUGAGCACUGAGAAAAUUUGAAUAUUGAUGAUCUAAUGAAACUAUUAUCUCUCGUAACAGUCAUAACUAAUAAUCAUAUCUUCUGUUUGAAUAUGUAGUGGUUGAAUUAUCGAAGUGAUUUUUCUGUUUGAGUUAAAAAUAAUUUUUCUUGGAGUAAUUUGUUUGAUAAAAGCAUCAAAUUCCUGAAAUAGUUGGUUUAGGUAUGUAGUGAAAGAUUGUAUGCUAACUGGCUAGUUUGGAGAUUUCUUCCAACCUAGCUAAAAUCUUCAAAUAUCUGUUAAAAUCUGCAUUUAUUGUAAUUUAUUGGUAUAUCAAAAUCAAGUGAAGCCCUUACAGCAAACGACUAGAAUAUUUAAUGAUGAUUGAUCCCUAGUCCUGUGGUUUUUCUUUUCCAGUUAGAUUUCUUGUUAGAUUGUAAUUGUAGGAUUUCUUAUCCACUUUGAGAUGAUAGUUUCUCUUAUGGUGUCCAAAAACACAUUAAACUACUGCCGAUGCACUAAAGAAAUUAGUUAAAAUUUAAUGAGAACCAUUGAACCCAAAAAAUAUCAUGUUUAAUCUCCUGCUUGAAUGAUCUUUCCAUAUAUUCCUGCUUAGUUUUUGACUACCAGUUAUCUUAACUCUUAUGUGGUUCCUAUUUUUAACAGAUUUUGCUUGUGAAGCGUAUUGAGGAAGUACUGGAACACGCAUUUGAAGGUGGAUGCCCCUGGAGGAAACAUGCUAAGUUAUAGCAUUCUCCAGUGUUCUCCAUUCGUGGAGUAAAUAUUGAUGGAACUGCCGUUUUCGACCAGAUUUAGGGCAUCCUGAUUGACAAUGGCAGAUGCGAUCGUAUCAGCACGCAUCCAACAUGCGGAACCGAGCCAUUGGAUAAGAUAUCUACAGAAAAUAUAAAAUAUGGGCUCAGUAUUAGCCAGUGUAAUGUCCUCGAAAGAUUGACCUGAAUGAGUUAUAUAAUCCCCGCUUUAGAGCAUUAGCCGUUUCUAGCCGAUCCUAUAAUUAUAUUUGGGAUCAAAGGUUUAGUUAUCGUUGUUAUUGCUGCCGCUGCUGCCACAGAGCAUGUAGCUAUCGUUGUGCUACGAACUCCCGAUUUGGCUCAGCAGCUUGUGUAAGGCUAGUCUCUCUGAUUCUGUAUUAUGUAUAAUUUCAAACUGGAAGCGAAAGUCUUAAAUUGUCUCAAAAACAUUGAUGCGUAUGCCAUUGUGGGAUAGGAGCGGUAGUCUCAAACAAAUGAGGCUAACUUUCCCUUGCUCUGUUUCAAUCUUCUCCCUUGUGGUGGUUGUGUGUAUUCAUAUUUCUUAUUCUUUUCCUUUUUAUGUUCGGAUUCUCUCUCGCUUUCCUUCCUAAAAAAAUUUGGCUUCUCUCUUACGAGUUUGGAAUCAAGUUUGUAGUUUAGCGGUGGUUUCCACUGCCACUUUGUAGAAUCAAAGUGGGGGAAUUUAAAUGCUUGUUUGAAUUUUUCCUUCAAAGCAUCCAGGAUCGCGAAACGGGUCGCAAGAGAGAAAUUUGUUAGUCACGCUUAGCAGCAAAAACGAGGUAAGCUCAUUGAGCUAAAGUAAGUUCGAUUUUAACUCAAAAUUGUAGAUAUAAAAUGGUUUAGUUCAAAAGAAUUAUAGAUACCGAAAAUUAAUAAUUUAUUUAUAUUAUAUAUAAUUUGUAAAUUUUUCAGAUAUCAUGAAACAUGUUUAAUCAAUUAAAUUUUAAUUAUUAUUAGAUCUCUAUGCUAGAAUUUUCAGAUUGUGGUCCACAGUGCACUAGGUUCAUGCAACAAUUUCGUAGUUGGAAUCUUAUAAUUCACCAUUGUAAGGUUUAGGCCGUUUAGCCAACCAAAAUGAUAAAAUUAAUGUGAAAAAAAAUGGUCCCGAUAAAAUUAGAGGAUUGCAAAUCAAAAUGAAUUGCCAUAGGAUGGCAAACAAUAUAAAGAAUACCUCUACAAAAUUAUGAAAUUUGGUUUCUAAAUAAUUCCAAUAGCAUAGAUCAUGUGUAACGGAGUCGAUCGUAGGAUCGGAUGCUCUAUUAUCGAAAACAACUUACAAGCACGGAUGCUUCCGUAUUUUCGAAAGCAUAAGAGCCCAGCUCUCUCUCUCUAUAUAUAUAUAUAGGAAAAAUUUCAUAGAUAUUCCUAUAGGAGACUGAAAUUUCAUUAAUAAUCCUCUAAAAUUGAAAAUAUCACGAAUGACCUUCUCAAUUCAAAAAAUACUCAUGAAUGCCCUUACAGGUAAAGUGUUGUUAAAAUCUAACCGAGCAGAUUAUAAAUGGCAUUUCUAUCCCUGUACGGUUCAUUAAGUAUAGGAAGCUGUAAUUGGUAUAUUAGCACUAUUCACAAAUGCCCUCUUAUUCUCUCCACAUAGCAACGAGCCCACUAAGUUGUCGAUAUUUUACAACACCUCAUAACACAACUCCUAAUUGUGAUUGUCGUAAACCAUGCCGAAUUUAGAUGUCAAAACAACCACAUAAUAAAGAUCGAUGAUUUUAUUGAUGCCCAAAUUGGAAGGUAAGUUGAUGUGAUACAUUAGUGUGCAUAUAAAGACUAAAUUACAUAAAACCUCCAUGUCAAAAUCUGAUUUUUCACUUUCCUCCCCUGUCAUUUAAAAACCUACACUUUGCCCUCUUGUAAAAUGAAAAUUGUUCACUUCGGCCCCUGCCGUUAGUAAUCUGUUAGGGUUCCGUUUAUAAAAUAUUAUUAUAUAUUUUUUUAUGCCAAAAAUGCCAUCAGCCUUCUCUUCUGUGAAUGUGAUGAGGGGCAUAAUAGUGAAGGGCAAAAUGGUCAUUUUAUCAUCACAAUUCACACCGUACCCCCUGUGAACAUUUUUCAUUUUAUAAGGAGGCAAAAUGUAGGUUUUUAAAUGACAAGAGGGAAAGUGAAAAAUUAAGUUUUGACAGGGGGUUUUCUGUAAUUUAGCCUUAAUUAAAUUUCAAAUAUAUAAUGCUGUAUAUUUUCUAUAGAUUUAGGAAUAAAGAUAAUGCAACUAAUUUGUUUGGGUAAUUACCUUUCAACAUAGCACAGUUAACCUUAAGUACCAAAUACAUAUGCUGAAAAUAAUAUAGGCUGGAGAAUUAUGAAAUUGGAGGAGGAAAUCCUCCUGUGUACUUUAUAUACUAGUUUUUAAAAUUUUUUAUCUUAGCAUUAAUUAGUUAUUUCCCGCCAAAUAUAUCAUUCUAACUUUUGGGGGAAAACUUAUCAUUCUAUAUUUUAACUUUCAUUUAACUACAUUUUAACCUGGGUAGAGUGACGUAUCCUUAACAGUAAGGAUAGUUAUGAUAAUUUUAUAUGUUUGAAGAGGUGUUUAUUAUAUUUGAAAGUUUAGAGGAGUAUUCACGAAAUUUACAAAUUUGAUAAGCUUACUAAUGAAAUUGCCCUUUUCUUUAUAUCAAUAAUUGCAUAUAAUUUGGGGUAAACUUCAAAUACUAAUCCAGUGGUUUCGCACUUUUUUACUUUAAUAUCAUAUAGUUUAAAAAGUAUCACUUUAGUAUCCUAUGAUUUUAUUUUUCUCUUUUCGCCAGCACCUCCCAUAACUCUCCGUUAAAUUAUAUACAAAAAAAUUUCAGAUACCCCACCUAUGAUUUAUUGAAUAUUCACUUUAGUAUCCUGUGGUUUACCGAAUUUUUACUUUAGUACUCUAUGGUUUUAAUUUUAUCACUGAUAUAAUAGAAAAAUUAAUGGAGAGGAUAACGGAAAGAGAAAUUUAUUAAAUUUAUUAAAAUUAAUAAUGAAAUAAUAUAAAAGCUCAAAUGAAAAAAUAUAGGUUAAAGGGGGUGUCAACAAAAAAAAAAAAAAGUUGAUGGGCCUAUAUCAAAAUCGUUUAUAGUUGAGGGGGUCUCCAUACAUUUUACCUAUUGAAAUUAAAUUAUUUUAGUUAUUUCAACUGAAAAGUUGUGUUAAAUUUAAUAAUUUUUUUUUAUACUAUAUCUCUUAAUUUUAAAAAACUAAAAUGUAAGGGGUCUUAAUAAAAAACUGCAUAGUUAAAGAAAUUACUUCAAAAUAGAAUAUAGUCGAGGAAUCUCCGGUACAUUUCUCAAAUAGUAAUAUAGUACCAAGCAAUUAGGGGUAAAUUCGUCAUUUUAUUACUUAACCCCUUAUUAAUUAAGGUAAAUUGACGGUAUUUUAAUAGUAAGAAUAUUUAUGAUAAUUUUUUAUAAUUUAAUUAGGGGUAUGCAUGAUAUUUUAACUUUUGUAGGGGUAUCUACAAAAUUUAAAAAUUUUAGAGGGUCCGGAUGAAAUUGCCCCAUAUAUCUAUAUAUAUAUCACCCCACCCCCACUUCUCUUUUUCCGCUACCUCUCUUCCUCGUCCUCGUCCUCUUCCCCUGCCCCACCUCUCUCUCUCUCGCGCGCGCGCUCUCUCUCUCUUCCUUCAUUUUCCGAUCGGUCAUUGAUGAGGCUUCGUGAGCACAAGUGGUACUCCAAUCCUCGUCCUGAUCGUACGUUCACGUAAGCAAAUCUCCCUCUUUCCCUCUAUCUCUCUCUCUAUCUCAACCUUAAAAAUAUAUAAAUUUCGGGACUAAAAUUGGCAUGUAAGAGAAAACUAAAUAGACGAUGGUAUGAUAAUAUUGUUAAUUCUAAAACCUUCUUUUAGCAGUGUCAUUUUAUCGCGAUUAAAUCCAGAGAUUUAAAAUUUUAAUUUCAAAAAAAAGAUUAUAGACCAAAAUAAAAAUAGUGAAAAAGUCGGGGAGUAGUGUGCAAUUAUUUUUUAAAAUAUGGUAUGUGGCCCCACCCUUUUUUCAAAACGGUCAGGGUUCAUAUAUUGAAAACUAGUGAAGGACCCGGACGUUGCCGCGGGACGAUUCUGUAAAAAUAAAUAAAAUAAAAUAAAAAGAGUUAAGGAAUUAUGUAUUAAAAAAUUUGAGAGAUAAACUACUAUUACUGUAAUAAAAAAAUAAAAAAAUAAAAAGGAUUAAAAAAAUAGGGUAAAAAUCAUACAAAUAAUAAAUUAUAUUUAUAGCAACAAUAAAGGUUGAUGACUAAAAUGAUAUAUCUCAUAUUUCAAGUCAGAAAUUAUAACUAAUUAAAGUUUGAUGAUGAAAGUAUCACAUGCCUCAUAGUUUAAAUCAUAAUGUAAAGUCCGAUGAUUAAAGUCUCACUCGAGUUAUAGUUUUAAGAAUGAAAAAUAUAAAUCUAAUCUUUCAAAAUUUACUUAUAUAUAUGAGAUUUGAGUCAAUCAAUAAUACUUUAACUCUCUCUUUCUCUUCCCUCCAGUAAUGUGGGGUUCGAAAUUCAAACCAAUUCUCUUCUUUCUCAUAGAAAAUUAAAAUUUAUAUUUAAUACAUACAAUCUAAAUAUUUCAAAAUACACAUAUAUUUUAAAUUUUAAUAAUAAUUGAAAAAAUUAUAUUAAUUUUUUAAAAAAAUUUGCUUUUCAAAAUUAAUAGAAGAGAAUUAAAAAUAAAAAUUAAAAAUAUAAAAAGGGGUGGGCCCACGCUGGGCCACCCCCUCUGCCUUCCGCUUUCACGCUGCCCGGCCCCCCGCUGCAGCCGCUGCCACGCCACGGCGCUCGGCGUCGCCCGCCGCGCACUCCGGCGUCGCCUCAGUUGUCCAAUUAAGGAUUCGUGUUAUAUAUAUAUAUAGUAAUAUAGAGAGAGAGAGAUGAGAGAGGAGAGAGAGAGUGUGAGUGAUGCCUACUAUGCUAUCGAGCACAGAUUUCGUGCUUCAGCUGGUUUUCGAUGUUGGGACUUUCGACUCGGUCGAUCAGCGGUAUAUAUAAUUAUAUAUUAUUAUAUAUUACUUAUAUUAGAGAGAAGGAGAGAGGAGAGAGGAGAGGGGAGAGAGAGUGAGUGAUGUACUAUAGCUAUGGAGAUGGUACUUCCUGCUUCGUCGUUUUCGAUUGUUGAUGAUUUAGAUCGUCGAUCGCUCCGUUUAAACUUGAUUCAUAGAGUAUUUGAAGUACCUAGAAAAAUAAAUUUUUUCGAUUUUUCGAUAUCAUUUGCCUAGAAUGAAGGGGCUCAAAAUCAAGGCAUCUAAUAGAAAUAUUACAAUAAUGUAUAAUCAUGACAUUUAAAUUUUAAAGAUCGAAAAUUGAUCUUGUUUAUAUAGUAUAAGAUUUUCUAUUCAAGUUUCGUGAUUGGUAUUUGCACGUUAAUUUGCAACGGCUCACACGGCAUUGAAAUUUGUUGAUUUGGACCCAUUCGUCACUAGGCAAAUGAUAUCGAAAUAAUAAAAUUUUUUUUAGGUCUGCCAAUACUUCCGAUCAAGUAACGGAGCACCGAGCGACGAUUCGAAUGUAAAUCGAAAACGAGGUGAAGCCGAAGGCUCGUGCUUCGAUAGCAUUGUAGCCUAAACUAUUUAUAUAUGUAUAAUAUAUAAAUUAUCCUAUAUAUUUAUAUAUCUCUUAUAGUUAUAUAUUAUUGGAGCUCUAUUUAUUUUAAGUAUCAAGGCAUUGUACUUGUAGUUUGGGAUCUUGGGAUUAAAGUCAUGUGCGGUUAGGAUGAUGUGGCCUUAGGAUUAGUGGGGUGUGUUGGGUUGAAAGUAUAUUUAAGGGUGAAAUGAUCAAAGGCAGAAAUCCUAACAGUAAUUUACAGCACAAGUGUUGGGUAUAUUUUCAAGCCAUGCGGAUAUAUUGUAAUAUAUUAUAUAUAUAUAUAUAUAUAUAUGUAAGAUUAAAUGUGUAUAAUGGUAUCACAGAAUUAUUUUUAAAAUCAAUUUUUUAAUAAUAAAGAUAAAUCUCUUGAAGGUGAAAAAAUAAAAAAUACUCUUCUACUAAAUUAUAAGUUCCAAAAUCCUUUUAAAAAAGGAUAACUUAUUCAAACAUUCAAAUAAAAAGAUGUAGAUUAAUGAGUUCAAAUCAAUCAACCAGAGCUUUUCGGGUGCAUUCAUUUUAUUAGAUUUGCCGCACUUUAGGAUGCACAAGUUUAUGUUAGGGCUGUCUAUGAAUUGAACACGAGCGAUGAUUAAUAAAUAUCAAGCUAAAAAAUCUAGUUUAUGCUUGACUUGUUUAUUAAUGAGUCGAACAAGGACUGCCUUGUGAAAGGCAAGUUAGAUUAUCAAUCCUACUAUAUUUUUAAUCUAAUAAUUAAAAUUCACAAAAUAUAGGUCUUCUGAAAUUUGGAUUGGCCUAAAAUUCAAUGAGUAGAAAUUUCUAAUAUAUAUAUAUAUAUAUAUGAUUUGAGCUACAAUACUAUUAAUAGUAUUUGNUAUAUAUAUUUAUAUAUGAUUUGAGCUACAAUACUAUUAAUAGUAUUUGUCAUUUAUUGCUAUUAAAUUUUUUACUUUUGGAUCAAUUCCGUUGAUUAUUUCUAACCAUUUUAAAUAUUAUAACUCAGUGGGAACCACUCAACCCUAGGGGGACCACUCAAUCCUAGGUAAGAGACUAAUAUCAUCCUAACCCUGCAAUUUCUCAUUCAAGAGUUAAAUAUUUGAUAGCAAAAAAGACCAAAUAUUAUCAAUAGUAUUUCAGCCCAACUCUCUCUAUAUAAAUAUAUAACUCUCUCUCUCUCUCUCUCUCUCUCUCUCUCUCUCUCUCUCUCUCUAUAUAUAUAUAUAUAUAGUUGAGCUAGAAUACUAUCGAUAGCAAACGGGUUCGUUGCCACCCAUUUAUUUUCGAUGAUGGAGCUUGCAAAUUGACGAUCAGCACCGUUAAACAUGAUCUAUACCACUUGAAGUAUUUAGAAAUCAAAUUUCAUAUAUUUUUGAUAUUGUUCUCUUAUCUAUCGAGUGGACACAAAAAAUGAACGGCUGAAAAUGAUUAUUUUUUAAAAAAUGAUAAAAGGAGUCAUGUAAUCAAGAUCAAGAGUAUAGAUCUUGUUUUAAAUAGUUUAAAGAAUUUUCUAACAAAAAUUUAAUUGAUUUGAAUAUCUUUACGCCGUUAAACGAGAAAACGCCUCAUAUCGACCAUUAAAAUUACAAAAUUUGAAACUCUUUGAUCAUUAGGCAAAUGAUGUUAAAAAGAUUUUAAAUUUGAUUUCUAAACACUUCAAAUGGUAUAGAUCAUGUUCAACGGUGCCGAUUGUCGAUUUGGAGGCUCUAUUAUCGAAAACAAAUGGAUGGCAACGGAAUGGAAUACUUGCUAAUUUAAAGGUGUAAAAGAAUCGAAAUCGAUUAAAUUUAAUAUAAAAAAUUCUAUUCACUAUCUAGAUAAUGAUAAAUAAUUUUGAUUUUAAAUUAAAGUAUCUGAUCAUUCAUUUUUAGGAUAUCGUUCGAUUUUGACUUUUCAUUUUAUACUCACUUAAUGGACUUUAUUAUAAUUUUGAAAAAUGAUUAAAUUUAUUUUCUAGAAGUUUGAAAUACUCUACAUCAUAUUUAACAGUAUGGAUCAUCGAUUCGGAAGCUCAAUCAUUGAAAAUAAUUUAUGACUACGACGGGUUCUAUACUCACAAGACUGUAGAAGUCAGAUGUGUGUGUGUGUGUGUGUGUGUGUGUGUGUAGACAAGGUUUUAAGUGCCCGUCGGCAUAGGCCAUAUCCAUCGUGUCGUACUGUGUCAACAAGAUAUCGGCACGAUACAGAUCCUGUGCUGAUGGCACAGCUCAAAAUCCUCUAUUCUUUAAAUUAGUAAGUAGUUUUCUCAAUAAAGUUCAAAAGAUGUGAUAAAAAGAUAUAGUAAACAGUUAGAAUAUUUUGUUGCUAAAGAAAAUAAAUAUUUCAUGCUAUUAUGUGUCGGCAUACAAGAAUUUAUUUAACUGGCACGGCUCGGCACGCACCGUGCCGUACCGUGCCGACAAGUUUUCGGCGUGAUCCCGUGCCACGGCACUUAAAUCCUUGUGUGUAGAGCUACUAUGCUAUCGGAAGCAUAAAGUAGUUGGUACUUCCAAUUUUUAGCCCUUAGAUCAAAAUUCUACGGUUGGGAUGAUAGCGGUCCCCAUUGGUUAAUAAUAUUAAUCUUAUUGUUAGAAAUGAUCAAUGGGAUUAAUCUAGGGCUAAAAAAUUGGAAGCACCAACUACUUUAUGCUUCUGAUAGCAUAGUAGCUACACACGACUACUAUAUAUAUUAUGAUAAGUACGAUCGCCUUCAUCUUCGUAAGUCAUUUUCAAUGAUAGAGCUUCCAAAUCGAUGAUCCAUACUGUUAAACAUUAUCUUGAGCAUUUAAAGUUUCUAGAAAUCAAAUUUUAUAAUUUUUUAGCAUCAUUUAUAUUACGAUCAAAAGAUCUCAAAAUUAAUAAUUUUUAAUGGCCGAUAUGGAAUACUUGCUAGUUUAACAGUGUAAAAAAAUCGGAAUCAGUUGAACUUUUGAUAAAAAAUUCUAUUCACUAUCUAGAUAAAAAUUAAUAACUCUAAUCUUAAAUUGAAGGAUAUGAUCAUCCAUUUUUAGGACGUCGUUCAAUUUUGACCAUUUAUUUUAUGCCCGCUUGAUAAAUUUUAUUAUGAUUUUUACGAAAUUUAUUUUUUAAAAGUUUCAAAUACUCUAAAUUAUAUUUAUCGGAGUGAAUUGUCGAUUCGGAAGAUCCAUUAUCAAAAAUAACUUAUGAGUCCGAACUCUCCCCCCCCCCGCCCUCCGUCUAUAUGUUCUCAGCGCUCGUUCUCCUCGGCGUCUCGUCGCCCGCUCCUUGUUUCGCCGGUCUCUCGUCGUCUAUUAUAAGUAUAUAUAUAUAGUAUAAUAGUAGUAAUAUGAGACUUCAGCUCAUGUGCGUUGUUAAAAGUACUGAAACACUUUGGUACUUGUAUUUUUAUCUUUAGAUUAUCCCUUGAUCAUUCAACCGUUUGAUUAUACUAUUAACUCACCGCCACUCAAGUUCUACUAUCGGACCACGCAACAGUAUCCUAACCAUAUCAUCCUCCUAAUCCACAUGUCAAAAUCUACAAGCACCAACACUUGGUAGCUUUUAAAAAUCAUAGGAGCUCAAUUCGAUAUAUACAAUAUUAAAAUAGUAUACCUAAUAUAUAUAUAUAUAUAUAUAUAAAGCUGGGGCUAUACUAUAAUUUUAUGAGCUAUAGAUCCGUUGUAAAUCAUAAAUGUUUUAACGCGUUGCAUUGAUGGAUGUGUGGGUUUAAGGAUGGAUGGUGUCCCACCCUUUAAAAUGAUAGUAGUCCUACGGGUUGAGUGGGUUUUGGUCAAAUAGUAUGAUCUAACGGAUGAAAAAAUGAUUAAUGGAUGAUAAAUGUAAGGCCCGGAAAAUUUAUGAGUUAAGGAGUAUAUCAAUACCGAACGAACACCGUGGACAGGUUCCCGCUUUCGGCCUUUCGUACAGCCAAUGGGCUCAUACUACACGACAUCGCUCAGCCCCGGCCCUCAGCACGGACUUCGCCGCGACUCCGCUUCCGCUGAGCACAUCUCAGCAGCCCCCCUCUCUACCGGAUCUUCUUCCUCAUAUCGUCUUCUCCCGUCUCCUCACCCAUUACCUCGUGUCCUUCGUCACCUCUGCUCUCUUCCUCCCAGGUCUACUCUCGUGCUUCUCCGUCCUCCUCAUCCGCUCACUUCUCCCUCUCCCUUCUCCCCUUGUGGACCUGGCCCGGCGCGCGCGGGACCGGCUGCGGGCACUGCUCUACUGCUCCUUUCUCCUACGCCUCCGCGAACCUCCUGCGUCGGCGCACUCCGCUCUCUCCCCACCGUCGUCCUUUCUCCUCUCGGCCGCCCUUUUUCCUCUGUCUCUCUCUCUCGUCUCUCGCCCACCGCGCCCUCCUCUCUUCGUCCUCGUCUCUUCUCCUGCCCUCAGCUCCGUCUUCGGCUUCUCCUCUCCCCGCGCAGGCUCCCGCCUCCGUGGCCCCCUUCGACUCUCGCAUCCUCCCUCGCUCAGCCUCUCUUUCGUUCCGCCGGUCUCCCUUCCGAUCGCUCGUCCCCUCCGCCUCUCCUCUCCCUCGUCGUCCUCGUCUUCCCUCCGCUCCUCCUCUCUUCCUCGCUAUAUAUAAUAAUAAUAUAUAUAUAAUAUAGGUUAAUAAUAUUAUAUAUAUAUAUUAAUAGAUAGAGCUAGGCUGGUAUACUAUCCGGAUAGCUACGGAGGCCCUCCGUGCUACAAGUUUGUUUUCAAUGAUGGCUGGCUUUCAAAUCAGACAAUCGGCUUCGUUAACUUGAUCUACACUAUUAAAAGUUUUGGAAACUAAAAUUUCAUAAAUAUUUUCAGACAUCAUAUUGCUAGUGAUCAAAAGGCUUCCAAAAUUUUAACAAUUUUCAAUGUAGAUAUGAUGCAUUUUUAAUGAUUCAACGGAUGUAAGGAAGUAUCAAAUUAGAUGAAAAUUUAAUAGAAAUUCUACAAUUUAAAUCAAUACACGAAACCAAUACUUUUGAUUUGAAUUUUGAAUUCUUUAUCACUAUUUUUAUGAGAUUUUCAUUUUCAGCCGUUUAUUUUUAAACUACUCGUUUGAUAGGUAUAUAGCCGGAAAAAUUAUGAAAUUUAGUUUCCAAAUACUUUUAAUAGUGUAGAUCAAGUCUAACGGAGCCGAUCGUCGUUUAGAGCCGCAUCAUUGAAAAAAACUUGGUAGCACGGAGGCCUCCCGUGCUACCGAUAGUAUACCAGCCUAGCUCUAUAUAUAUAUAUAUUAUAUAUAUAUUAUAUAUAUAAUAUAUUAUAUAUAUAUAUAUAUAUUAUAAUAGUCAACUGUGAUACUAUCGAUAGUACUAAAGAUUUGGUUUAUCAAGUUUUUCACCGUUAGAUUUAACCCUCUGAUAUUUUUACUAGUUAGAAUUAUACUAUUCAACCAACACACUCGCUCAAUCCUAGAGGGCCACCAUCAUCCUAACCAUCCAUUCUCAUCUAAGGGCUAAAAAAUCAAUAGCACCAAUAGCUUGGUGCUAUUGAUAGUAUUCCAGCCUAGUUCUAUAUAUAUAUAUAUAUUAUAUAUAUAUAUAUAUAUAUAUAUAUAUAGAGAGAGAGAGAGAGAGAGAGAGAGAGAGAGAGAGAGAGAGAGAAUUGAGCUCCUAUGCUUUUAAAAGUACCAAAUUAUUGGUGCUUGUAAGUUUUCUGCCCAUGGUUUAAGGAAUGUGCGGUUAGGAUGAUAUGGGCCCCGUAAGGUUGAGUGGGUGGUUGGUUGAAUAGUAUAAUCUAAUGGGUGAAAAUGAUCAAAGGUAUAGAUCUAACGGUAAAAAAUUUACAAACACCAAAUAGUUGGUGCUUUUACAAGCACCAUAGCUGGACUCUAUAUAUAUAUAUAAUAGAGCUACUAUACUCUUAUGAGUAUAGAGCCCUUCGUACUUAUAAGUUGUUUUCGAUGUUGGGGCUUUCGAAUCGACGAUCCACAUCGUUAAACAUGAUCUAUAGUACUUGAAACUUCUAGAAAAUAAAUUUCGUAAUUUUUCGAAAUCAUAAUAAAGUCCAUCAAACAGGUAUAAAAUGAACGGUCAAAAUCGAACGUCGUCCUAAAAAUGAAUGAUCGGAUCCUUCAAUUAAAGAUCGGAGUUAUUGAUCUUUAUUUAAGUAGUGAAUAAAAUUUUCUAUAAAAAAUUUAACCUAUUCCGAUUCUUUUUAACCAUUAAACUAGCAAAUAUUUCAUACUGGCCGUUAAAAAUUGUCAAUUUUGUGAGCUUUUGAUCGUAAGGUAAAUGAUAUCGAAAAAUUAUAAAAUUUAAUUUCUAAAAGUUUUAAAUGCUCUAAAUAACAUUUAACGAUAUAGAUCGUCGAUUCGGAGGCUCUAUCAUCGAAAAUAACUUGUGAGUACGAAGGCGAUCGUACUCAUAAGAGUAUAGUAGCCGGACUAUAUAUAUAUAUAUAUAUAUAUAUAUAUAUAUAUAUAUAUAUAUAGAGAGAGAGAGAGAGAGAGAGAGAGAGAGAGAGAGAGAGAGAGAGCUAGGUUGGUAUACUAUCGUUAGUACGGAAGCCUUCGUGCUAACAAGUUGUUUUCAAUAAUGCGGUUUCCAAAUCGACGAUCGGCUCCUAUAUACUUGAUCCACACUAUUAAAGAUGUUUGAAAACUAAAUUUUAUAAUUUUUGACAUCAAUUAUCUAUCAAAUGAGUAGUCUAAAAAUGAACGACUGAAAAUAAAAAUUUCAUAAAAAAGAUGAUAAAAGACUUGAAUUUAAGAGCAGAGAUGCUGUUCUUACUCUAAAUAGUGAAAAGAAUUUUCUAUAAAAAUAUCAUCAGAUUUGAAUUGGUUUACACCGUCAAAUUCACAAACGCAUCACAUUUAUCAUUAAAAUUAUCAAUUUUGAGACCUUUUGAUCAUUAGUCAGAUUAUGGAAAAGAGAUGAGAAUUAUAAAUGUGAGUAAUUCGAUGCUAAAUUGACUGAGUUGUUUAACAUUCUCUGCUUGAGCUUAUAAUUUAAACUUUUAAUUAUGUACUAGUUAUUUAAUCUAUCAAAUAUUCUUUAUACUUCAAAUAAAUAUCUUGGUAUACAUUAUGUACAUUUCACAUUUUUUGAACCAAAUUACUUCUCAUUCAUAAUAAAAGGGGGCCCUUUUUUUUUUUUAAAACAAAAUAGUCCUCUAAAACGCGGGAACUAGAAGUGGUAAAAAUGCAACGAUCACUAAAAAUAUAAAGGGAAAACUUCAAAACCCCCCCUGUGGUUUCGUGCAUUCUCACUUUGCUACCCUGUGAUUUAAAACGUAUCAAUUUGCCCCCCUGUGGUUUCGUUUUUAUCUUUUUAUUAUCAAUUUUAUUAUUAUUUUUUUUUAAAAUCAGUGACAAAGUUAAAAUUAAAGGAUACUAAAGUGACUAUUCGAUAAAUAUAGAUGGUUAUCUGAAGUUUUUUGUAUAUAAUUUAACGAAAUAUUAACGAAAAAGCUUCCGAAAAGAUAAAAAUGAAACCACAGGGGGGUAAAUUGAUACGUUUUAAACCACAGGGUAGCAAAGUGAGAAUGCACGAAACCACAGGGGGGGUUUUUGAAAUUUUCCCAAAUAUAAAAGAAAAUAUAAGCAAAAGAAAAUUAAAGCAUCAAAUAGUAAUUUUAAUUUCUAACUACAUAUAUAUAUAUAUUUGCGUGAUGAACGUGAAAAUACUAAAAAAAAAACUCAAAAAUCUAUGAUAUAUAAUUAAUUGGUAACUUUCCUUUCAAAGAGUUCAUGAAUAUACCACAAUGAAAUUUUAUUACAAGGACCAAAUUAAAAUCAUCAUUGCGCCAAAAAAAAAUAAAAAAAAUAAAAAAAUAAAAAAAUCCUUGCAUUAAAGCAUGCAUAAAAAAGGUUUUUUGAGUUAGGUUGUUGUACUCGUAGCAGGUAUUAAUGGUUCAUUGUAACAAAACUUUAAAGGAAAAAAAAUAAUUGCUUGGACUUUAAGUAUUUGUACGUCUCAUGUACUAUAAUAAAUAAUUAAAUAAUAAUUAAUUAUUUAUUUUUGAAAAUUUAAAUUUAUUUUAGAAAAAAUAUAAUUAUAAUAUAUUUAGAGUCAAAACUAUAAAAAAAAUUUAUUAUAAAGAUGAUUUUUAGGCUAAUAUGGCAUAUACUUGCGCUUCAAAAAAUGUCGUCCUACCAAGCUGUAUCAAAUUAAUUUAUUGAAUAAUAAAUUUUAUUAUUAUUUUUUAUUUUUUGCUAUUUUAAAAUAGGAAAAACUUCAAAAAUUUUUCUGUGGUUUCGUAGUUUUUUACUUUGCCCCCUGUGGUUUAAAAUGUAUCAAUUUGCCCCCAUGUGGUUUCUUUUUUUUCUUUUUCUUAUCAAUUUCAUUAUUUUUUUUUCUUAAAUCAGUGAUAAAGUUAAUUUAUCUCAAGUGAAUAUUUAAAGGGUACUAAAGUGAAUAUUUGAUAAAUCUAGAUAGCUAUCUCAAGUUUUUUAUAUAUAAUUUAAUAAAAUAUUAACGAAAAAGCUACCGAAAAGAUAAAAAAUGAAAUCACAUGGGGACAAUUUGAUAUAUUUUAAACCACAUGGGGGGGGGGAGAAAUGAGAAACUACGAAACCACAUGGGAUUUUUUUAAAGUUUUUCCAUUUUAAAAUAUCAGGAUUUUAAAAAAUUCUAUCAUUUUAAAAUAUCGGAAUACAUUUUACAGACAUUUGGUAUAAGUGUUGAUAUAUACUUUGCAACUUUUUAUUUACCAACGUUUGUACUGCGGCUUUUGAAUACAACGAUAAACUAUUUUAAAAUGCUUUUAAGUAUCUUUAAGUGCUAACAAUUAUCUGAGCAUUCAUUAGUCCUACAUUAAACACCGAUUGAUUUAUAAAAAUUAAGUGUUUAAAAUUUAUAAUUUCGAUUUAUAGAUAAAUUGCAUCUGGGGAAACAUUCAUCGAACAAUGCAUGAUGCAAAGGUACAUGCGAUAGUUUCUUUUAUUUUUUUUAUAUUUUUUAUUUUUAAAUGAGUUGUUAAGCCGUCCAUCUAAAUUCCCACCAACCCCCCUCAAUUUUUAAUAUUUCGAAACUAGUACGGUAAAGAUAUUGCUAUUUUAUACAAAGGACGAGAGUAAUAAUUAAACAAAAUGGAUUUAAUUAGUAGUCGGCGUGUAUUGUUUCAGUGAACUCGGCAACCAAUAAUAAUAAUACACGUUGCCCAUUACUCCAUGUACAUACAUGGAAAGUAAUUAUUUUAAUUAAUUAAGUGCAUUAAAUAUUUCUAAUUUCUAGAUAUUUACCAUGCAUUGUUGGGUUGUACUCGCAUUAAAAACUAGGGAGUAAUGAGUUGUUUUAUUAGUCGGUGCAAUGAUGUGAACAAUAAUAUAAUUUGUAGAUAAAAUAAUAAUUAUGAUAAUUAAAAAUUAAAUAAAAAUCUACGAUAUAAUUAUACUAAAACUAUUGAGGAAUUAUCUUAAGUGGGAAAAACUUUAAUUAACUUUUGAGCGAUUUAGCAUAUUUAUAUUUUGUUACUGGGCAAUACAAUUUAUUUACUAAUAAUAUAAUAAAGUAAAGUGAAAUUAAUAUUAUCUUAUAUUUUGUAAGUUAUAAUAUUUUAUGAUCUAUUUAUAUUUCUCAUAAAAGUAUUUUUUUAAAAAAUACAAAAUUUAUAAAAUAAAAAUAAAAUAAACCACACAAAAGCUGAUUAAUAAAGUUUCCCUAUUUUAUAUUCCAUAACUUCUAAAAAAGCGAUUUUACCUUUUCAAACUCUCUCUCUCUCAUCUCUCUGUUUCUCCACGUGGUCUCUUCUCCAUAUCCCUGUAAAUUUGAACGUUAUGCUUAUUUUUGGACGAGUAGUGUACUUGGAAUAGGACUCUGCAUUAAAUACGUACACAACACCAAAUAUGCCGUUUGGUUCGGGUAUAAAUAGGAACUAGCUAUUACAGAAAUAGGUACAAGUAUAGAGAUAAAAAAAAAUAAUGUUUGGAUGAAAAUUGGGUUGUUUUUGGGGAUAAGAACAAUUUUAGAUAGUUUUAUAUAGAAAAUGAAAGUGUUGGUGGGGAUAACCGAGAACUACUAUUCUCGGAUAAAAAAUUAGCAUUUGGAUAACCGAGAACUAUAUAUAUAUAUAUAUAUAGAGUGAGGCUACUAUGCUAUCGGAAGCACGGAGCCUUCCGUGCUUCCACCUCGUUUUCGAUGUUGCGACUUUCGAAUUGUCGAUCGGCUCCGUUAAACUUGAUCUAGAGUAUUUGAAGUACCUAGAAAAUAAAUUUUAUGAUUUUACGAUAUCAUUUGCCUAGUGAACGAAGGGGCUCAAAAUCAACGGCUGAAAAUAAAAAUAUUACAAAAUGUAAUAAUAUGACAUUAAAAUUUUAAAUCAAAGAUAUUGAUCUUAUUUUAUAUAGUAUAAAGAAUUUUCUAUCAAAAUUUCACGUGAUUUGGAUAUUUCUACACCGUUAAACUUGCAAACGGCUCACUACGGCCAUUGANUAUAUAUAUAUAUAUAUAUAUAUAUAUAGUAAGGCUACUAUGCUAUCGGAAGCACGAAGCCUUCCGUGCUUCCAGCUCGUUUUCGAUGUUGCAACUUUCGAAUCGUCGAUCGGCUCCGUUAAACUUGAUCUAGAGUAUUUGAAGUACCUAGAAAAUAAAUUAUGCAAUUUUUUGAUAUUAUUUAUUUAGUGAACGAAGGGGCUCAAAAUCAACAGUUGAAAAUAAAAAUCUUACAAAACGUGAUAAUAUGACGUUAAAAUUUUAGAUCAAAGAUGUUGAUCUUGUUUUAUAUAGCAUAAAAAAUUUUCUAUCAAAAUUUCACGUGAUUUGGAUAUUCUACACCGUUAAACUUGUAAACGGCUCACUGCGACCAUUAAAAUUAUUGAUUUUGAGCCCCUUCGAUCACUAGGCAAAUGAUAUCAAAAAAUCAAAAAAAUUAUUUUCUAGAUAUUUCAAAUACUCUAGAUCAAGUUUAACGGAGCCGAUCGACGAUUUGAAAGUCGCAACAUCGAAAAUGAACUGGAAGCACGAAAGGCUCCGUGUUUCCGAUAGCAUAGUAGUCUCACACUAUAUAUAUAUAUAGAGUAGGGCUACUGUGUUAUUAGGACCACAGUAACCCUUGUGCUCCUAAGUUCUUAACCGCUCAUCAAAUUUGAUGGGUUGUUAGGAUGAAAGGGAAAAAAGUAAUUGGAGAGAAAUUGGAUUUCUCAAUUUCUCUUCUCUUUAAAUUUCUCUUCAAUAUCUUUUCUCUCUCAUUCACCCUAACCAUCCAUCAAAUUUGAUGGGCGGUUAAGAAUUUAGGAGCACAAGAACUGCUGUGCUCCUAAUAGCACAAUAGCCUUACUCUCUCUCUCUCUCUCUCUCUCUCUCUCUCUCUCUCUCUCUAUAUAUAUAUAUAUAUAUAUAUUUUACUAUAUAUAAUAAUACAAUCCUCCUUAAUCUAUCUUCUCUUUCCUUUCCUUCUUUUAAAUUUAUAUUUAUACAUCUCCACACCCUUCACCCACCUCCCAAAACUUAAACACUAAUCUCUCUCUCUCUCUCUCUCUCUCUCUCUCUCUCUUUCUCUCUCUUCAUUAGUUCCCAGAUCCUCUUCAAUGGCCUCGUUAAUGCUGUUGCUGCUCCUGCUCCAAUCUCUUCUCCCUCUACUAAUAUUCUCCCUAUUCUCAGGUAUAUAACUCUUCGUUUCGUAUUCAUGAUUUUCUCAGUAACAUGCGUGAUUCGCCUUACGUUCAUUCACGUCAUUAGUUAUAACUUAAAACUUGUGUGAUGAUUAUUUUUGGGUUAUUUUCUAUGACUGCGCAUUGAUGGGGUGGUCCAGGGGUGUCGGCGGUGGCGACGUUCACGAUCGCGAACAAUUGCAGGUACGCAGUGUGGCCGGGGAUUCUGUCGAGCGCCGGCGCUGCGCCGCUGGCGACGACGGGGUUCGCGCUCGCGCCGGGCGAGGCGCGCGCCGUCGACGCGCCGGCCGGGUGGUCGGGGCGCAUCUGGGGCCGAACGCUCUGCGGCGGCGGCGGCGGCGGCGGGGCCUUCUCUUGCGCCACGGGCGACUGCGGCUCCGGCGCCAUCGAGUGCUCUGGCGGCGGCGCCGCGCCGCCCGCCACGCUCGCCGAGUUCACCCUCGACGGCAGCGGCAGCAACGACUUCUACGACGUCAGCCUCGUCGACGGGUAAAUGCUUAAGCUACCAAAAAACAGUAAUAUCUUUUUGGUAGUAUUGAUUUUAUAUCAUGCAAAUAUAUAAAUCAUUGUUUUACCUAAUGCACAGAUUUUAAAAUUUAAUAAACAUUAUUUUUAAGUAUUUAAUAGUUACUAUAUUUUUGUUUGUACUUUGAAAAAUGAUUGUGAAUAAUUAUAAUAUAUAUAUAAUGCAACAGAUCAUAAAGUAAUGAUUAGGUAAUCGAUUAUUAUCAUCGCUCAUCUGAAGGUUUACUUUUUAAUGUAACUUUUGUUCCUCUCCCCAAGUUCAAACAACAAAUUCAAUUAUACUUUACCUUGAAAGAGCGACAAUUUAGGCAAUUAUUUUUAUAUAUAUAAUACAUAAAUUUUAAAAUAGUAAUACAUAAUAAAUAAUUUGUCAUUGAGUUUUCGUGUCGGCAGAUGAUUUUAAUAUUUUAUAUUCAACAGGUACAACAUCCCGAUGCUGGUGGCCCCGCAGGGCGGCAGUGGGCCCAAUUGCAGGCCCACCGGGUGCCUAGCGGAUCUGAACGGGGUGUGCCCAUCGGAUCUGAAGGUGGUGGUGGGCGGCGAGGGGGUCGCGUGCCGGAGCGCCUGCGACGCGUUCGGGGCGCCGCAGUACUGCUGCAGCGGUGCGUACGGUAGCCCCAGCACCUGCGGGCCGACGUCGUACUCGCUCUUCUUCAAGAACGCGUGCCCGCGGGCUUACAGCUACGCCUACGACGACGCCACCUCGACGUUCACCUGCGCUGCCGCGACCGCCUCCUCGUACAUCAUCACAUUUUGCCCCAGCACAUCCAGGUAGCUGAUCGAUUGACUUAGCGAGCAACUUCAACUAUCUUUAGUUUUGACGUACAUGCAAUCAAAGUGGUCGGAGAUUUAAUAUCUUAAUUUGAUCCUCUCCUUUGUAUUUUUUUUUUUAAUCUGGAGUUGUUUUUUUAUAUAGAAUAAUUGAUACAAGCAAGACUUUCUCAUUACGUGGAAAAUCAUUUUUCGUUUGCUUUUGAUUUACUUUUUUAAACGUGGCCACGCAAUAAGUAAGUUGGAUGCUGGGACUUUUCAAUGGGGCUCUGCUUAUGUUGGCUUCGGGUCCCAGUUUAUCUAAAUGACAAAUUAAAAAGCGUAAUUAACGCGUUACGAGCCAACUUUAGCUGUAAUGCGUGUCUUGUCCUUUAUAAUUAUGUGUUUAAUUAUGGUUUUAAUUAACAACGAGCUAAGUUUAGAGUAAUAAUCGUGCCUCUUCGGUGUAAACCCACCUCAUCAUGUGUCAGGUCGACGCGGCAACACAUUACUUUUUAGCUGUUUGCAUUUAAUAUACAUCAAUAUGAUAGAUUCAAGAAUAAGGCUUUUUUAGUUUGUUUAUUAAAAUUAUUUAUUCUGGAUAUAAAUCAAAAUAUAUUACUUUGUUUAUGAAUGUUUUCUUAAAAAAUCAUAUUUAAUGCAAAUUAUCUUUACAAAAUAGUGAGACGGUAAAAUUAAUGCUUGUGCGCUUCAAAUGAUGCCAAAUAGUUUAUAUAUAAAAGUCGAGCCAAAUCAAACGUAGGUUUGAUUCUGAUAUAAGCUUAUUAUGGCGGCAAAAAAUAGACUUUUUAGUAUAGACACAUUCUUUAAAUCGUCAAAUCUAAAUUGAAUCAAAAAUGUAGUGCAUGCCGAGAUAAGAAAAGCUUGUGUUUUUGCUGCAGCUUGAAGUCGUCGAGCGCGAACCCGGAGGCCGCGGGGCUGCCGCUGAUCAACAACACCAUGGUCUUUGUGAGUGGUGCUGCUGUGCCGGGCCGUGCCGAUCGCCGUAGUGGGCUCCACCUCUCCCUCCUCCUCGUCGUCUCUGUACAUAUGCUGACGUGGCACUUUUUCCUAUUCUCACGCCCCUUUUAGUUAGAUCCACACGUGCUCCUCCCCACGUGCGCGCGGGUUGCUAUUCUCACGCCGCUCUCCACGCCAUUCGUAGUGCGGAACCCCUCAAUUACAAGCAAUUUUGAACUAGGCCCUUCACUUUUUUUUUUUUUUUUUUUUUUACUUUUAUUAGUUGUAUUUUCUUAGCUUCUAAUUUUUUUGACUUUAAACAAUUGUCAUUAAAUCUAGUGACUUUGUUUCAAUAUUAUUUGCAAUAAAAUUUCUAAAUUUAGUUGCACCGAAAUAAAUUAUUUAUGGAUUUAAUAGGCUAAAAUUGUUUCAUUUCGAAAAAAAAUCAAGUAAAAAAAAAAGGAGUAAUGGGCCGAUUUCAAAAUAUCCUCACUAGUUGAGGAGGUAAUAGUUUUUUAUUUUUAAACUGAGAAUAUAACUUUUAUAUUAUUUUAUAUUUAUUUUUUUUUUUUUGGAAUGAGUAAAUGAUGUGGUGUGGGGCGGCAUGGAUUUGCACGGUGUAGGCACGCCGCUAUAUCCAGGCCUUUUCCGCGCGAUUGUUAAAUGAGAUACGUCGACGUCGAGCCACGUGGACUUUGGAAGUUGUGACGUAGGAUCUCUUGAUUUGAUCGAUCAGUUGAUGUGAUUAUAAUAGUACUAAAUUGUUCGUACAAAAUAUUUUAAAAAAUAGAUAAAGUCGUCCUAAAUUUUCAAUUUUGAAAAUUAAUUAUUUUUAAACUAUAUCAAAUAAUUUAAUGUCUUUUUUUUACGGGUAAAUUUUAAAUAUCACACCUGUAAUUUUGUACAUUCUUAUUUUAGUACCUUAUGAUUUAAAGUGUAUGAAGUUAGUGUCAUGUUGUUUUAUUUUUCUCUUUUCGUCAGCUUUUUCGUUAAUAUUUUCUUAAAUUAUAUAUAAAAAAACUUCAGAUAUUCCACAUAGAUUUAUCGAAUACUCUUUAGUUUUAAUUUUGUCAGUGAUUUAACGAAAAAAAUUAGUGAAAUCGAUACUAAAAAGAUAAAAAUGAAACCGUAAGGCACUAAAUUGAUACACUUUAAACCACAUACUACUAAAGUGAGAAAGUGUGAAACUAUAAGGCACUACAACAAAAACGGUCUAUAGCGACACUUUUAAAUGUAGGUACAUGUCAAAAAAGUGCUGCUAGCUAAAAUUACCGACACUUUUAAAAAAUGUUGCUAUAUGUGGGGUCGCUAGGUAUAUAGUGACAGUUAAAGAGUGUCGCUAUAACCUAAAAGAGUGCUGCUAAUUUACGAACACUUAUUUAAGCAUUUAGCAACCGCCGAAACUUUAUCUCGUUGGCUGCGGUGGCGGAGGAGGACGACAGGAAAGACUCUUCGUCUAGAAUUUCAGUGGAUUGAGUGAAGAGAGAAGAAAAGAUGGCAAUUGAUUUUUCAUUUUUUUUUCUUUUCUGUUUGUAAUCGGGCCAAAUGGACUGGGUGUGGUGGGGUGAGUAGAGUAAUCUUUUAUUUUUGGUUGGAUUGAGCUUUAUAUUUAGGCAUUAGCAGAUAUUUUUUUAAGUUUUAGCAUAAAUGGGACACUUACUCAAAAGUGUCCCAAAUAUGUGUCCCUAUAACCUAAUUCUGUUGUAGUGAGGGUGGUGUUUGAAAUUUUUCCAGUUUUUAUUAAUUAUAUAAUUAUUUUGAUCACAUAUGGUGCGCGUAAUUUUGCAAAGCUUCAAAUUAUAAAAUUUUGUUUUUUUCCUCUUAUUUUGAUAAUUACGCAUAAAAUUUGAAGAAUAAGUUAGAUUUUUAUUAUUUUUAUUUGUAU
This 78837-nucleotide long non-coding RNA is filed under the name Ananas comosus (pineapple). RNAcentral's name for it is "long non-coding RNA (ACOM_LNC033752)". Lineage: Eukaryota; Viridiplantae; Streptophyta; Magnoliopsida; Poales; Bromeliaceae. The record is from RNAcentral.